RNAcentral lists this long non-coding RNA (69336 nucleotides) under Eucalyptus grandis. RNAcentral's name for it is "long non-coding RNA (EGRA_LNC002052)". Lineage: Eukaryota; Viridiplantae; Streptophyta; Magnoliopsida; Myrtales; Myrtaceae. The record is from RNAcentral.
UGUAGUUUGCUUUGAAUCAUGCACUUCUCUUAUAGGAAUAAAAUACGCUUUGACAACAAUGACAGUGAACAGAAAUUUGAAUAUAAUAACCACAGCAUGCAAGCAUGAUGAACAUUCCCCUGCAAUCAGCCAACGUCAUAGAGUUCCAACGAUUUUUCAUACCACUUGGUAGUAGUCAAGAGUUGGUUGAUGACACCAGAAACCAUUGGACCUCACAUAAUCGCACGGCCUUGUCCAGCAAAUCCAAAAGAUACCAGCUUCACUCAUAGGUAUUCUGUGGGAAUUAUGCUUCUUUUCUCUGGGUUCUAGAAAAGGUAGGUGGAAAUAUAAAUGCAUUACUUCACUAAACUAGAAAUUAAUUUCGUUGUAGUGGAAGUGGAACUAUAAGCUUUAUUUAUCAGGGGACACCAUUGUUGGUAAACUUGGACCAUACACAUCGGCAUCGAAAAUACCAACUCGAGCUCCCAUUCUAGCCAAAGUAUAUGCAAGAUUUACAGCUACAGUUGAUUUUCCCACGCCUCCCUGAACAGUUCUGACAGACAGCAGUCAUAAUAGAAGAAAUUAAAGAAUAGUACUUUUUAAUAUUAGUAACCUAACAACAUGUCAAACCACAAUUUGGAAAUACUCAAAGAAAAAUCUUUUCCAUUAUAAAAUUCGCUAAUCGGGGAAGUCAUCACGAUGGAAUGAAACUACAGGUCAUCCUUAUGUCACAGUCAACCUCUCAAAGCAACCCCAAAAACGUCUUGUAGCCAAAUGUCAUGCAACGAAAUAGCUACUUUGUCAUAACCUGGAAUAUGAAGUGCAACAAACAGUCAACCUUCUCAAAGCAACCCUACCUUGCAGCUUGAAACUGCUAUAAUGUUUGAGAUCGUCUGUAACCCUGGAGGAAGUUCACCUGUGAAAACAGGUUUUGCUGGUUGUGCUGACAUAAUUACUUUUAACAUUCUUGACCCAAUGAAGAUUAGCCACCACCUCAUUUGCCUGCUGCUCAAACUGUCAAGGAAUACUCAUGCUGUUAAACUAUUUAAGGUUCAGUAACCUGAUAUAUCAGGCAAAGACUCUGAGGAAACCAUUAGGAAGCAGAAAGACAACGAUAGAUUAGUUUCAAAAAUACUUUGAAAUUGUACAUGCACAAAGAGAUUUAUGGAAGGGUGUCAAAAGGAGCAGGUGUCAAUGGUUUCUAAAGUAAUUAAUACACAAGACAGAACAUCUAGUGCAUGAGCAAGUAUUCGGUUACUGAGCAAGCAACAUAGGUUGUGUUAUUUACCAUGUCCUUGAUUGGACAUGCAGGUGUAGUGAGCUUUAACCGGAAUGAAACCUGAGAAUCAAAGCCAAGACAUUGUAGGGUAAGGGUGUCAUUCCUUACAGAUGUAUAAAGAAUAAAUUCCAGACUAAUUCUUUAAUAACCUCUCUAAGAGCUUCAUCUCUGAGGAGGUCCUUAACAAAACCUCAUGAAACAAUGUCCGUUCCAAAGUCAGGAUCAAUAAUUUGAGACAAGGCUUUCAGCACAUCACUUUCAGCUGUAUGAGCUGAAACUGCAGAAGUACUCUCUACAAUUACAAGAGCAGAAAAUGUACACGGAAUGAUGUCAAGCUUAUGAGAUGAACAAGAAAAAAUCAGAGGUGAACAAUCGGUGAAAACUAAGCAACCAAGUCCAGUCAAUUUUGCUCAGGGCAUACAGGAUAGGCAAUUAUUUUUGGCCCUUAAUCCCUUAAGAUUAUAAGCUGUAAUAAUCUUCUGUAUCUACUCAGGGCCAUUCAAAUUUGGUUUUGACAAGGGGUAGCCAAGAGUAAUUGGUUUGGAUGGGUUCUCAAUAGUACAAUGCAUGCUCAUGUGCACAAACACAAGACUGCUUUAAUUGUUUUCUGUUCGUGUAUAGUUUCUUUGCAAUUCCAAGAAAAUAGUUUGACAGAGCUAGCCCCUUUUAUUUGGCCUACCAAAUAAUCCUCCAAAAUUUUCUUCAAGGCAGAACAUGUAAAUAUGUCUUCGCAGAGAGUAUGAUAUGUAUUAGUGGAAGCAGAUUGAUCUGAUGGCACUAGCCAACGGUUUCACCAUAAACAUACUCAUUUCUAGAAACUCACAACUUUAUAAGUAGCAGAUUAUUAGCACCAAAAAAUAAAUUGCAGAAAGUUACCAAGAAUCGAACAUGGACGCCUCAGUAAAGUUAAUUAGGUUUACUUACUAUGAUACGAUUAAUUAAAUCAGGCUAUAGGCGUACUAGAAACAAUCUUAACUGUAUCACUUGCACUCGCUCCACAAGAUCACUCUGUCAAAUUCUCGACAUUUUCAUGAAAAUAGCUACUGGGUUCUCAUAGCUCAGAUAGAUAAAUACUCGAACAUUAAAAAAAAAAAAAAAGAAGAAUCCCAUUUGGGUAUUUACCAAAUAUUACAGGCACCCGAUAAUCAACGAAUUCAAAUUAUUCAUAGAAAGUACCUUCCACUGAAGCAGCCUUAGCUGCAGAGGAAUUCGAGACGGGCGGUUUGCGAGAUACCCAUCUGGAGCUUCGAAGCCAUUGUUGCUUGACAUAAGAGCCGGUUGUCGAUGGUGCGAGAGAAUUCGUCAAGAGACACGGUCCUACAACAGAAAGGCCCAGGCGAUGAGACAGUGGCAGUGACAGUGUCGGUUCGAAGAUCAUUGCAUGAAUUAGCGCAAAAGUUACCUCUGUUCGGUUGGACUUUUGAGCAGCAUAGGAAGAGAGAUGGAGAAGAAGAUGGGCACUGCAGUAGGUGCAUUUUCUUGAGAGAGAGAGAGAGAGAGAGAGAGCAGAGAGCUAAGAGUGCUCUUGCAGGAAAAAUGAGAGGUGGCAAAUGCUUCUGAGCCUCGCGCUCUCUGCUCUUAGUGCAAAAAAGCGCCAGCCCAGCCUCAUGUUAACAGAAGAGGAGUUCGUUAAUUUUAAAAGAAAAAAAUAGAAGACCUUUAUUCCAUCUAAAGAAAAAUGUGUUCCUUUGGACUUAAAUAAGAGCAAAAAAGUAUUUAUAUCUUGUACUUUUCCGUUCAAAAUUAAGAAUAUAAUUUAAAUUUUAAAUAUUCUAAAAAAACUGUAUGUGAAUCCAAGUAUCAAUAGUGAAAAUUUCAAGAAUUUCGAAGUUAAUUAAAGUCCAAACGCAUAAGCCCGAGAUUUAGAUUAAAUAAAAAAUUUUAAAAAAAUCUAGACGAACCUUAUGGGUAUUGAACGAUUAUAUCUAUGUAUAUAUAUUUUCUAUAUAAUAAUAGCAAUUGGCGGAAAUAUUUCUUCAAAUAACUUAUUUUACUCAUCACCGCCACUUCAACAUAUGAAUAUACCAAAAAAAAAAAAAAACUCGCUUAAUCUUCUAUAAAAUUGUAUAAAGAAAAAGUUAUAUAUAUAUAUAUAUAUAUAUAUGUGUGUGUGUGUGUGUGUGUGUGUAUAGAUUCAAUCAACGCUAUUUAUUUCUCAUUAAAUUUACAUGAAACUUAUUGUUGCCAUACUUUCUACAUCUAUAUCAUCAUAUAGGUAAAUCCUAAACCAAAUUAAAGAUAAGUAGGACUCAAUUUGAAAUCAAGUUAAAUUAAUUACGUUAAAUAGUCAUUCCUAUGGCCCAUUACAAAAUUUUAGAUAUACGACUCUUCACUAUCGUCAUCUAUUAUCCUUCUUUUUGGUCAAGAUCAUUAUCUAUCAGUUUAGUUACUUUGAAAUUGUCAUUGUGGAUCAUGCCCAUACUCAGAUUCCUCUAUGCUCUGGGCAUACGAACGAGACAUAAUGGUGUAUCGAAGAGGUACACAUUAACCAACUUGGAUCUCGAGCGCCCUCAUCAUUGACCCAAAUCCAUGGCCGGAGGCGUGCGAUCAUAAGAGCUGUAUGUCCACAGUUGGUGCACUUGGGAGUUCCACCCGGAUCUCGUCAUUAAGGAAACCAUAUCGAACUUGACAACUGAGGCAACUUUUGAGUCCAAGUUAGCAUCGAUGAUUGGGUCAUUGAAGACGAGUACAGGUAACUCAAAUCAUUUUUAUACUUGGAAAGUAGUUCGCUCCAGGUAACUGGAUCUAAACUAAGAUACAACAUGGCAUGGAGCAACUGUUUAUUGCCGAAAUUCACAGCGAUAAGAACUAUCUUGACGGCCAAGCAAACACAUGGUUGAAGUUGUCAACACUUGAGAAGAAUUUCCGAAAAGAAUGGUCUCAUUCAUUACAUAAGUUCGCCAAACUCAAUCUGCUGAGACCUUUCAUUCUCUAUCCAGUACUGCAAAACGCUGAGGUGCUUCUAACUUUUUACAUACAGCCCGGCUCUUCCGUACACUAUUGCCGGGGAGCGCUCCAAGACUAAAAGCAGAUGACUUCUCCAUUUGAACAUCCACAUACAUUUGCCUUCUAUUGAUGGAAUCUUGUUGCUUUUAUAUUGAAAACAGAUUAUGUUUGUUGUCCUCACCGUACCCCUAUGCGACAGAGUUCCAAAGGAACUAUCAGCCUUGGUAAACUGAGUAGCUUUAAGCAGAUUGCACAUGUUUUUCCAUUAAAAUCACACAGACAAUCUGUGGCAUACAUUAAAAGACGAAACUGCAAAUAGAUAGAGGAGAUAUAACUAAAGUGAGUAUAUAUGUAUUGGAUUGUAGUACGAGUUAUCACGGGAAAUGAGUUGGCUGAAGUUACAUAUCAUACUUCUUAGGUGGUGUAGUUUUCCCGUGAUAAAGAAAAAUCACCAUGAAGUUCAUUUUCAUUUUCUGCUCUUUUCUUCCGCAAAUCUACUUUGAUAGCUAAGUAAAUCAUACAUAAGAAUAGAAUAUUUUUGCUUUCUACAAUAAAGAUUAUACCCCAAUUUGAAUUCCCAAAGGACAUUUUGAAUUACGCUCCAUAUCAUUUAUAUUCCCAAAAGUAAGAACAAGAUGAAGCAAAUAGCACUAAGAGAAAGCAAUAUUAUUCUCUCACACAACCUCUUGACUUGCACUGUACAUGGUAUCAUAUUUUGAACAAUGACUACUUGCAUGGCUUGAUGUUUUGAACAAAGCUUAAAAGGACAAAUUGAUAUAACCAUCACACCCCAGCUCUACAAACAUAGGGAAAAUGACACGAUCGUCCUCCUAUCCAAAAGACGCAGUCUCAUAUGCAUAACCAACAUUAACCUAUCAUAAAAAAUAUACCCAUUAAUGUCUCAUAAAAAAAGAAGAAGCUGGUUACAUGACUAGAGUUCUAAAAUUCACCAAUAGAAAUAUAUAUAUCUAGUGACCGACAAACUAAACCGAAAAAGUACAUUAUAAAUUAUACACACAAUUAUCUCAAGUUAUACCCAAAAUCCAAAUUCCUAAGAAUCCUCCACUGAUGUAGCUUUCCUCCUAUAAGUCGGAAGCUGAAAAAGAAUUGAGAUGCCCCGGUAUAAGCAUACCACCUCUCAAUAAAUAGUGCACAUCUCUUCUCAACAAAUCAAGCAUCAGCAAUGCACAUUAUAAACAGUAACAGAAACACAACCAAAUCCAGUAUAUAAUAUAUGUAAAAGUCCAAAUAUGAGUUACAUCAUUUCAACAACAUUUUCAACAUAUUAGAAACACUCACUCAAUCAACAAUAUUUAAACAAACAUCAAUGGUUUAGUCCAUUGAUUACUCUAGUACUUCAUAUCAAACUAUAGCCAUGUUUANNNNNNNNNNNNNNNNNNNNNNNNNNNNNNNNNNNNNNNNNNNNNNNNNNNNNNNNNNNNNNNNNNNNNNNNNNNNNNNNNNNNNNNNNNNNNNNNNNNNNNNNNNNNNNNNNNNNNNNUAUGAUUUCAGAUCAUAGUGACAAGAGGAUAAAUCCAUCAACAUAAUCCCGUCAAAAACAAAACCAUUUCAGAACUCAUUUAAUAAAUUAUAUUCACAAAUCCAUACAACCCUUCGCAAUUCCAUCCACAAGAAGAAUACAUUCACGAAAAAUUUCUCAAACCAUUUUGUAAAUAAUCAGUCCUCCAACUAUUUCAGGAGAUAUCUUACUUUGCUAUUUCAAAUAACCAAAUAAGGAAAUAUACAUACGUGCAUGCGUGCGUGCGUGUGUAACCACAUAAGGAAAUAUGUGUGUGUGUAAUCAGCCCUCCAACUAUUUCAGGAGAUAUCUUACUUUGCUAUUUCAAAUAACCAAAUAAUGUGCGUGCGUGCGUACGGGCGGGCGAGCAAGCGGGCGGGAGUGCGUGCGUGUGUGCGUGCAUGCCGCGUGCGUCGUGCGUGCGUGCGUGCAUCGUGCACGUUGCGUGCGUGCGUGUACACAUAUAUAUCAUAGUGUGCAAUCUCUCAUUCAUAACUUAUAUAGCAUAUCUAAUUCCGGUGAUUUUCAAGCCAUGAGUUAACAUAUCAUAGAAGAGCUAAGCACCAAUCCUCACUUACAUAUCACUAACCUCAACUAAGAUUCUACUAGGUGACGCUAAUUUUUGAAGUCAAAAUGUCCAGUAUAAGUCGACAAAAAGGCCGCACAAGCAUCAUACUUGCAACGGGAAACAGAGCAGCAAUCUCAUCUUACAUUGUGAAUUUUGGCAUGUCAUACAUCUCUACUGAACUCCAUUCUAAGUGAGUUUACAGUCAAAAGAGAGCUUAUUCAAAGUACUAAAAGACCCAACAAAUCCUUAGAACCAAAAUUUGGUCGACAACUGAUGAAAUCAGGGACGAAACCCUGCUGGUUGCAGUCACUCUAAAUUAGUUUUCGAGAACUUCGAAGAACCAAUAUCUCUCAAACGGCAAUCCAUAAAAUCUCAUGAUUCCAAGAUCAACCUAAAGUUUCGAAACGACAUCAUGUCACUGCUCAACAAUCUCAAGAAUCAACUUAGCAACCCUAAAACCCGAACCGAUCCGAAAUUACAACUGAACAGAGCACAUAUCUUUGAUUUGAAGGUAUCGAAUUCUUACUGAGUGCUUCAAAAUGGUAUCGAUCUAGCUUGUCCUGGCCUCCGAACCGAAUCGCGCCAGAAGCCCCUUCCGCUCAUUCACGGAUUCCACACUCUUUCUUCUGUUCCCUCUUUGCUUUGCCGACUCGCUCCCUCCCCCUCUUUUUGCUGCUCUUGACUUUUCAUAUGGACCAGCUCUCGGGCAGUUCCAAGUAGUCGUACAACGUGUAUUUGGUACCUUUUGCAAUGAUGCACAAUCACGGACCUUCAACGAACAUAGCUUCUCCAGCUUCAAAGCAUCAGGGAGGGGCCUUUCUAUGGAACUGCAAUCUCCAGUUGAAGACGGUUCAAGUUCGAUCUCAAUUAAUUGUGGGCACUUCGUCACAAACAAAUUUUGAUGCUCCUUUAAGCUCGAAACAUUGGAUAUCCUCACAAGCCCCUCCCAUUCGAACACUUGCAGUGACUGGAGAUUCUUUAGCUGUCCAAUCACAUUGUCGAACUCGAUCUCUCCAAACCCACAGUCGUAGAGCAGUACGUGACACAAAUUGUCCAGGUUGGAGAACAUUGACCAUUCUAUUGGGAUCUUCACACCUUGUAAGUUCAACAAUUUCAAACUGGACGGAAACCCAGUUAGAAGCCGUAGGUUGGCACAGGUUAUUUCUAACCUCCAGAGUUGAGAAAGGGAUCUCAAGUCAGUUGGAUGCAUGGUGGGAUCGCAAAAAUCCACAUUAAACGACUGCAAUUUAUGAAGCCUUCAGAGAUAACUUAGGUUCGGACGUAGAAUUCGUCCUCGUUCAAAUAUGGAUGAUUGUUUAGUUGUUCUCACACAAGCAUACGUACAAUCACUUAUUAUUAGAUGAUUUAAACUAGUGAGGUUCGAGAGGUCGGGUACUGCCAGCAAUGAUGGAGACUUUAUCUUUAGGUCUGUUAAACUUGUGGGGAGGUCUGGUAGUAAUUGAAGCCUAUCACAAAAACUUAAAUCAAGUUCUUUGAGGUUAAAGAGCCGAUUAAUUGUCAUCGGCAAUCUACUAACCUUCAUGUUGUGCAAGUACAGAAUCUCCGAUUGAGAUAGUCCUGUGAUUUCACUAGGAUUUUUGCCCUCGAGAAUGUCACGAUCGUGGGCUGUUAGCUCCUCAAGAUUCUCCAAAGUCCCUAUACCAGUAGCUCUCUUAUCUUACUUUCCUGCAAAAUCAUGAGCUGCAACUGUCCACCAAUAGAAUGGGGUAAUUCUUCGAUAGGUGUAAAAGAUAAAUCCAAUUCGAGUAGCGAUUCUAGUCCUCCAAUGGAAUCUGGUAAUGCACUUACACUAGUAUAAUCUAAAUUCAAAUAAAGGAGUGAUGGCAACUUUCCAAUGGAAUCUAAAAGCUCUACAAGGUUGCAACACCCACUUAGAGACAGAUGCUUCAAAACUUGUAGCCCUUCUAUUGAGGGUGGAAGUUUUCUAAUGCCAUCCUGAUUUUCCAUCUUCAACAUCGACAAGGAUUUCAGACCAUCAAUUGCGUAUGGUAAUAGAGAAACGGGUGGAAUUCUCAGUAGUGGACAAUCCGUCCCAUCAAAUUCCAAAUACUUCAGGUGGCCUAACUGAUCAAUAGAGCUAUCAAUUUCUUCCAAUCUUGUACAAUUUUUUAGAACCAGUCUUUUCAAAUUCAAGGACUUGGAGAAGUUGGGUGUCCUCUUUAAAUAAUUGUAGCUUGCUAGAUAUAUGACUGUCAGGUUAUCAUUUACCUAUAAAACAACAAAUUAUUAAGGAAAAUAAUGGCAUAGGCAAAGGUCAACUCAAUGUAACAAAUGCAUACACACAUAAAUAAAAAAUUUGCCACCUCGUAAGAUUAUGCCCGUCAUCAAGUCUUGUGAGCUUUGAGUGCUACAAUGUUUUUUUGUUCCCUAAUAUUUUUUAGAGCACACGUUUAGACAUAAACCNNNNNNNNNNNNNNNNNNNNNNNNNNNNNNNNNNNNNNNNNNNNNNNNNNNNNNNNNNNNNNNNNNNNNNNNNNNNNNNNNNNNNNNNNNNNNNNNNNNNNNNNNNNNNNNNNNNNNNNNNNNNNNNNNNNNNNNNNNNNNNNNNNNNNNNNNNNNNNNNNNNNNNNNNNNNNNNNNNNNNNNNNNNNNNNNNNNNNNNNNNNNNNNNNNNNNNNNNNNNNNNNNNNNNNNNNNNNNNNNNNNNNNNNNNNNNNNNNNNNNNNNNNNNNNNNNNNNNNNNNNNNNNNNNNNNNNNNNNNNNNNNNNNNNNNNNNNNNNNNNNNNNNNNNNNNNNNNNNNNNNNNNNNNNNNNNNNNNNNNNNNNNNNNNNAUCAUUAUCUCUCCCUUUAGAUGGGAGUCGUAAUGGUAAAAAUUAGUUCUUUUGGAAUGUUGUUCAUUUCUCUCAAAUUAUGCAAAAUCAUCAAUGUCCCGUGUACAAAAAUGGGCGAACAUUUUGGAUGAAAAUGAACUCUAAAUACACAUAAUUGCAUGUUCAGAUUUUCUAGGCAUACCAGGUUAUUCUGAACCACAUUUGAGGCAGUCUUUGGACACCACACGACUGGCACACGACCCUCGCACGAUCACCGCACGAUCGUCGCACGAUUGCUGCACGACCGCCGACUGCUGCUGCACAACCGCCACACGAUCAUCGCACGACCACUGCACGACCACCGCACGACUGCCACACGAUUGCUGCACAACCACCGCACGAUCGCCACAUGAUCGCUGCCCAAGGAUUGUCGCCCAUAGCGCACCGACCGCGGGAGGGGCGGUGGCUAGUGAGCUGUGGGUGGUGGUCCUACGGUAGCAGUCAGUAGCGAUGGUCGGCGGUUGUGUGGCAACAAGCGGCGGUCGUGCGGCAAUUGGCGACGAUAGGAUGCCAGUGGACGGUGGCAGUCGUCAGUCGGUGGGCUACGGGCGGCAGCCACCAUCAUUGGCGGUCGUGCGGUGAUCUUGGUGAUUAAGUGGGAUGAUAUUGUCAUCUUGGUAGUCAGUUUGGGGAGCUAAGGAAUGAGUGUUCCUAGUUGUAACAAUAAUUUUGCUUCCUGGCCCAAACCGACUAUACUUACCAACAAGCUUCAUGAGUUGAUCCUUCUUGUCCAUAUCAUUAAGAAUAAGGAUGACUUUCUUAUCACGGAGUCUUUCUUCGAUCAUGUCCCUCCCCUCAUACGCAUCAAUAACUUUUGAGUGUUGAAUACCAAGGAUGUCACGCGACAAUUUCUUUCGCAAACUUAAAAUGUCAUUUUCAUGGAUAUCUAAAAAGCUGUAACUUUGGAAUUGGAAAGAGAUACGUUCAAAGAUAGCCUUAGCAAGAGUUGUUUUCCCAAUACCCCAUACCGUGAGUCACCACAAUCAUACAUCAAUCAUGGCCUACGCCUAACAACUUGAUAAUGGCUUCCAUCUAUUGUGGAUUCCUACCAAAUCAUCACACCCNNNNNNNNNNNNNNNNNNNNNNNNNNNNNNNNNNNNNNNNNNNNNNNNNNNNNNNNNNNNNNNNNNNNNNNNNNNNNNNNNNNNNNNNNNNNNNNNNNNNNNNNNNNNNNNNNNNNNNNNNNNNNNNNNNNNNNNNNNNNNNNNNNNNNNNNNNNNNNNNNNNNNNNNNNNNNNNNNNNNNNNNNNNNNNNNNNNNNNNNNNNNNNNNNNNNNNNNNNNNNNNNNNNNNNNNNNNNNNNNNNNNNNNNNNNNNNNNNNNNNNNNNNNNNNNNNNNNNNNNNNNNNNNNNNNNNNNNNNNNNNNNNNNNNNNNNNNNNNNNNNNNNNNNNNNNNNNACAACCAAGUGCAUGAUCCAGACAAUUUUUUUUUUGGCUUGUGCCACCCUUCUAGCAUGACAAAGGGUGAAAACAGACCAAAUGGCACAUUAAGUAGGGUGAAAACAGACCAAAUAACCAUAUUUUUCAUCUAUAUAUUGAGUUUUCAUGAUUAAGAAACAAUGAUCUAAAUUAAGAAAUGAAAGUAUAGAAAUUGUUAAUUACCGGUGAUCUUUUAAGUUCAAUCCCUUAAUUCCAGCGACCUCUUUUAGGGCCUCCUCCCACUGCUUGGCCACAAUUUUGCCAGACUGUUUCUCAUGAUUUUCUAAGGCCUUACCGUGUGAUCCAGUUCUGAGCUUAAGAUCUAAUGCAUCCACCUCAUAGAAGAUGGGCAAGAUCACUUUCUCACCUCUCUUCCUAUGCUCCACCAUGUGUGCGAGCUCACGAAGACACCAUUUGCUAGAAGCAUAAUUUUUAGAGAAGAUAGGUAUGUGGAUUUUUGAAUUAGAGAUUGCCCUUAGAAGCUCACCUCCAAUCUCUUCUCCUACAUGGAGCUCUUCGUUAUCUUUGAAGACACGUAUCCCAGCCCGAAUCAUGGUCUCAUAAGAGAGUCGAUGAUGGUUGAGCGAGAAUCGGGCCCUCUAAAGCUCAAGAACACCUCGUAUUCCCUCCUUGACGACGAUGAUGAUUCACCAUCAAGGGGGAGAGACUUUCCUUCAAGAUGUUCCAUUCCUACGAUCUUUUGCUGCGGAAGUGAUAUCAAACUAUUUUGCUCGUUCGAAAUUGCAGAGACCGAGGUGAGGGCCAUGAGCGAAGGCGAGAGACGGCCAGAGAAGAGCAAAGACCGAUGUGAGGGCCGCCACUUUGUGAUGCUGCAAUGGUCGGUGGUCGUGCGGCGGUCGUGCGGGGGUCGUGCGGUGAUCGUGUGACGAUCAUGCGGUGGUCGUGUGAUGAUCGUGCGGCGAUCAUGCGGCAGCGGUCGGCAGUCGUGGAAGUUGCAUAAGGGUAAGUGAAGAACUAAUAUAAAAAGACCAAGACGAAUUUCUGUUUUAUUUUUAUUUAUUUAUUUAUUAUUUUUUUUUUUUGCGUCUUGGUUUGUCAUUCCAUCAUCUCGAUGACCUGCUCUCACGUAUCUUCAACCCUGCACGAAAUGCUUUAAGAAAGGUUCUCGCUAUUGCUGAAAGAAGAAGAAAAACCCUAUGAGCAUAUGGUCUUGCAGCCAAAAUAAUUGGAAAACACCGUUAGUUGCAUAAAUUGUUCGGUCGGAUCCCCAUAUUCCAUGGCACUAGUUCAUAUUUCUGGUACAUCUAUCAAAUCUUCACAGGAACGAUUCUAUGGUUACUGGAUAUCAUGUAAAAGGAAUGAGGACAAAAGGCGAUUCAUUACAAUGACCUAUUUUGAGUGCAGAUAUCGAAUCCAGAGCGUGUUCAAUGCACUUUACCAAAUGAAAGGACCUCAUAAGAGCUUGCAUAACAGCUAUAAAGCUGUACUUAUAAGAUUAGUGCACCAUCCUAGACAUUAAUCUCAUCUUCAUUAAUUAUAUACAAUGCAUAUUGCUGGUCAGUGACCUGCCUAGACGAAUAGGCAAUUAUAAACCUUGCGUUCAGAAUAAUAACUGAAUAUAAUAUUCUUAGAAGAGACCUUUGAAUAAGAUGGAAAACCCAAGUUGAACUGCUUUUUCUUGAUAGUAUUAUCCUUGUAAAGAAUCAAAAUUAACGGACUCUAUUACAUUUUGGGAAUCCGUCCAUCCAACUGAAGUUCUCUUGAUUUUGUAUGCAAGGCCGGCUUCACGGAUAUAGAAGAGUAAUCCUGUUUCAUACUCAUGCAGGUAUCAUAGCAGUCAGCAUGAAGCAAGAUCCCACAUAACAUGAACAGUUACUGAAAUUGCACAAUCUGUACUAGUUCGAUCAUCAAACACUUAUGUAACAGAAUGUUACAAAGUAGUUCUUUCUGAAGUUAACGAGCACUUGAUUCUCCAACUGAGCCAGACAUGUACAUAAAUUAACAGAAAGUUCCUGCAAGCAAUAUAAUCUAUGAAAAAUAGUAUAUCAGAUUCAAACCACAAACUCAACCUUGUUUUGUUCACUUUUCAUCAAAACGUUCGUCGUCAUCUUCUCCAUCUUCAUCAACUUCUUCACUUUCAUCCCCUUCCUCAUCAUAAUAUCCUUCUUCUACAUCUUCAGCAUAGUUGUUGCUGUCAUCCUCUUAUCAUCAUCUUCAUCUUACGUGUCCACCUGAUUUGCCUACAAAGGUCAAGCACAAAAAGUAAGUCCAUAUCAUCUAAUUUAGUCUUGAGAGAGAUUAACGAAGCUACAAGAUUGCAGAUACAUGAUAAUGGCUAGCACUGACAGACAAAGAGAAGCAGCAAUAGCCAAAUAUGUGCAUCACUAUCACACUUUCAUUGUGGUUCAACAGCUCAACCAGAUAAAACAACGACAAGAAUCUGAGUUUCGAGCAUAACAUACAGAUGGAAUUGAAAAUGAGGGCAUUAAAUAUAUAACGCCUAACUGCUUAUUAGUAAAAUGAAGCAAGUGCAUGUACUGGAACUUCCUCUCUCAAUAUAGAGGCCCUCUGCAUUAGAAUGUCUCUCUGUGUUCACUGUUUGAACUACUCGCACUCUCCAAUCUGCUACCUUGAAAGCCAUUGGCAGGGCAGAGAGAAAAUGAAUGUUGAUAUUAUUAUUGAGAAAAUUUUAAUGCUUGUGAAUUCUUUUCACCAAAGCUAUGAUCUACUCUUGUUGAAUGAAUAUGUCAAGACCAUGCAGGAACACUGACCAGCCGCUCCAUUGUUUGCAACUGAAGAUAUGCAGCGAUCUGCAUCGACUAUAGGAAUUAGAUAGAGAAAAGAUGGUAAUGGUUAAUUGAUGAACGUGUCAUCUGAGUAAAUUCCUCCUUUACAAACUUCUCUGAAACAAUUCCAAUUACUGGUCAACCACAACAAAUAAGUACGUAAUACGUUCUAAUGCGACAUAGUAGAAAAGCAUUAAUCACCUGAUUAAAUCCGUCACAUGGCAUAGUUUCCCAUUGUUUGAAUUUCUUCAGGUUCGAUGUCUUCCGGUACAUCAGAAUACUGCAGUUUUCACUCCUGUCCAACCACCCUGAUGCAGACAAGUAGAAACGUCAAAAGGGUUUUUCUCGCUAAAUUCAACCACUAAAAGGAGUUCAUCUAUCUUCAUUGAUUUUGAGGGAUUUGAUGAGAGAACAACUGCAGUUAUACUCUGAAUCCUUAUGCUGUUAGACAUUUACUAGGUCAAAAGCUUUUGAAAUAACAAAGUUUUUUUAGUUGACCGAAUGGAUUUUGAUGAAGAAAUUCAAUGCUCCACUAGAAUCUACCAUGCCAGAUUACUAAUACUCAUGUUUCAGUUGAUAAGACAUUUGGUCAUUGAGAUCCAGCCGAGUCAAUUUAAACUAUCAUGUGAAGAUAGAAGGUAAGACUGAAGUGAAAAAAUGCUUGAACUUCAUGUGUGAGUACUUGGAUCAUAGAUAAUGGCAUGAAAGCUACUCAAAUCCACUUAACUAUGUUUUCAUAAUGUGCCCUUCAACCUUAGAUUCAAUUUAAAGGGUCAGAAAAGGUAUAGGCUUAGCCUAGUGGUCCAUUGUAGCUUUAAACUUAUGCUUGUCUUGAAGGGAAUACUUAACAAGCUACAUUAAAUGCAGCAAAACCAGCCUGAACAUUAUAAAUACAGGAUUAGCAUCUAUUUAUUUCCCAAGGUUAUGCAUUACUGUAUUGAAGUCGCAGCAAUAAAAACCUACAUAUCCUACUUUCCAUUUGCAAAACGAAAAAUAACGAAGGAAAGUCGUUAUACCGAACUUUGAUUGCCUUGGUGACUUCAUCACAGACGUUCCUUCUCACAGUUGCAGGGUGUAGAAAGAACUCCUUGUCUGAACCCAGAACCUUCACUUUGAUUGCCUUGAUGACUUUAUCAUAAUGACGGCUGUUGACAGUGGAAAGGAAGACGAAACUAUAAAUCAUUGGAAUAUGAUAGCCAAGAAUUGAAAAGAUAUGCAAUUUCUGAAAGUUAUUUCUUUAGUUUGAUCGUGGGAGGGAAGAUAAGCCUAAAAUCUCAGUAGAACAUGAUGAAUUAGGAAAGUUCUGAUCGUAUGAAUCUAAUUAGACACUCACACUGGAGUCUCGAAACACAGAGUACAUGCAGGAUUUACAGCUACAGUUGAUUUUGCCACACGUCCCGGAACAGUGCUGACAGACAGUAGUCCUGAUAAAAAAAAAUUAAAGAAUAGUACUUUCUAAUGAGAUAUAUCCACUCCAUUAAAGAUCCUACACCUAACUGCUUCAGCAAUCAAACAUGUAAAACCAUGAUUUGGAAAUACCCAAAGAAAAAUCUUUUCCAUUAUGAAAUUCAAUAUUCAGGGAAAUCACCACAAUGGAAUGAAACUGCAGGCCAUCCAUAUAUCAUAGUCAAACUUCUCAAAGCAACCCAAAAAUUUGUGGUCAAAUGUCAUGCGCUGAAAUACUGCAUCGUCACAACUGGAAAAUGGAGCACAACAAAAGGUUAUGCAAACCUACCUUGCAACUUAAAACUGCUAUAAUUUCGAGAUCAUCUGUAACCCUGGAGGAAGGCGACCUGUGAAAACAGGUUUUGCUGGCUCUGCUGACAUGGUUACUUUAACAUUCUUGACCCUAGGAAGAUUAACCGCCACCUCACUCACCUGCUGCUCAAACUUUCAAGCAGUACUUAUGUUGUUAAACUACUUUAGAAUCAGAAACCUGAUAUAUCAGGCAAAGACUCUUGUGAAACCAUAAUGAAGCAGAAAAAAUUUGCCUAGAUUAGCUCCUUGGAUACUUGGAAAUUGUACAUGCACAGAGAGAUUCAUGGAAGGAUGUCAAAAUGAGGUGACAAUGGUUUCUAAAAGUAAUUAAUGCACAAGAUAGAACAUUUAGUCCACUGAGCAUGUAUUUGGUGAUUGAUCAAGCAACUAAGGUUGUAUAAUUUACCAUGUCCUUGAUUGGACAUGCAUGUGUAGUGAGCUCUAACCGGAACAAUACUUGAGAAUCAAUGCCUAGACAUUGUAGGGUAAGGGUGUCAUUCCUUGCAGAUGUAUAAAGACUAAGAUCCCAUAUUGAUUCUUUAAUAACCUCUCCAAGAGCUUCAAUUGUCAGGAGGUCCUUAACAAAACCACAUGAAAAAGUCGGAUCAAUAAUUUGAGACAAGGCUUUAUUCCAGCUGUCUGAGCCGAAACAGCAGAAGUAUUGCUACAACUGCAAGAGCAGAUUCACAGAAUGAUGUCAAGCUUAUAGGAUGAACAACUAUUGUAAUAAAAAGAGAAAAAAUCUGAUGAGAAAAAGGGUGAAAACUUAGCAACAACUAACCAUUCAUUGACAGCACAUUAUAUUUGGCUUUUCAUCAAUUAAGAUUUUUAGCACUAAUAUCCUUCCGUAUCUCACUCAGGGCCAUUCAAAUUCUGUGUUGACAAGGGGUAGCCAAGAGUUGUUGGUUUGGGUGGGCUUCUCAAUAGUACAAGGCAUGUGUGCAAAAGCGUGCGCGCACAAACACAAGAUUGCUUUAAUUUUUUUUCUGUUGUAUGGUUUCUUGGCAAUUCCAAGAACCUAGUUUGACAGCAAGUCCCUUUUAUUAGGCCUAUAGGAUAAACCUCCAAAAUUAUCUUCAUGGCAGAACAUGUUGGUCAUCUUCGCAGGGAGUGUGAUAUCUAUUAGUUGAAGCAGAUCGAUAUGAUGGCACGAGCCAACGAUUUUACCAUAAAACCUGACCCAUUUUAUGGAACUCACAACUCAAUAAGUAGCAGAAUGUCAGCCCCAAACAACCAGUUGCAGAGAGAUGCAAAGAAUUGACCAUUGACAGCUCUGUAGAAAAACUUACUACGAUACAUUUAAUUGAAAAAAAUUCGAGAUAUUUGGCUUAAUAGAAAAACACUUGGCUGUAUCACCUGCACUCACUCCGCAAGAUCACUCUGUCAAAUUCUCAACAUUUCGUUGUAGGUUCUUGAAAAUAACUAUGAAUAACUGGGUUCUCAUAGCUCGGACAGAUAAAUAUUCAUAUAUAUAUAUAUAUAUAUAUCCAUUUGGGUAUAUCCCAAAUAAAACGGGCACCUAAUUAUCAAUGGAUUCGAACUAUUCAUGAAAUGGACCUUCUACUGAAGCAGCUUCAGCUGCAGACGAAUCUGAAACGGGCGGUUUGCGAGAUACCCACCGGGAGCCUUGAAGCCAUUGUCGCUGGAUAUAAGAGCUCGUAGUCGAUGCUUACAAAACAGAGUCUUACAACAGAAAGGCCCAGGUGAUGAAACAAGCAGUGGCAGUGUCGAUUAAAUGACCAUUGCAUGAAUAAGCGCUAAUGUUACCUGUGUCUGGUUGGACUUUUGAGCAGUACAAGGACAGAGAUGGAGAAGAUGGGCAGUGCAGGAGUUGCAUUUCCUAGAGAGAGAGAGAGCAAAGAGCCGAGAGAGCUCUUGCGGAAAAAGUGCGAGGUGGCAACUGCUUGUGAGCCUUACCGUUUCUGUUAGGAGAAGAAAAAGCGCGAGGCUUGUAUAAAUAAAAUAAGAAUUUGUUAAUUUUAAAGAGGAAAAUAGGAGACCUUUUUUCCAUCUUAAAAGAAGUAUGUUGCUUUGGACUCACAUCACACCACAGCACAUUUUUUCUUUACUUUUCUGACCGUAUUUUACAAAAUACUCAAUUGAAAACUAUAUAAAAAUCUACGUAUUAACAAUUGAGUAAUGUGAAAAUUAAAGUACAAAAGUCGCGUAAAUUAAAUUGAGUAAGAAAUAUAGUAAAAGUCAAUCCAUACAGAUUUUGUGGGUAUUAAUGGAUAUAAAUUAUGUACAUCUAUAUUUAUUUCUUAUCUAUAUAAUAAUACAUAACGUUUCUAAAAAUAACUUGUUUUAUUUAUGAAAUUCACGUCAAAAUCUAACUAUUAAAAGAAUAACUUAAGUUAUAGAUUCGUAAAUAAAUUAUAUUUGAUUCAACCGACAUCAAAGCUUUUUUCGUGUAUCUACUUCUCAUUAAUUAUCUUAAUUUAUGUAUACCUUGUUAUUUCCGUACUUAAUGCAUCUAUAUUACCAAGUAGGUAAAUACUAAAUUGAAUUGACAAAAAAAUGAGGAAAUCAACAUUAGAGUGCGAAAAAGGUUCGAUUGAAAAGUACGUUAAAUUAAUCACGGAGGAAAGUACCAAAAGAAUCAUAAACUUAUUGUAUUGGUAUCAACUUAGUCAUAAACUAUUCAAUUGGAUUAAUUCAAUUCUAAACUUUUCGCAUUAGUAUCAAUUUAGUCCUAAAUAUUAUAAUUGAACCAAUUUAGUCAUAAACAUUUUUACAAUGAUACCAAUUUAGUCGUGCUAUUUAGACGUAAACCUCGGGAGAAACUAGCACAAGACCCCACCACCAUGACUCUCCGCUUAAGACGUGUUAACAACGCAGAGAUUUGAACUCGUUCCCUCGGUGAUGAAGUAGUAAAGCCCAACCAAAUACGCUGCCCACUGGUGGAUAAAAAUUCUGACUUUUUAUGCACUUAGCAAUGGAUAAAAUUUAUCUGGGUGAAGUUACAAGAGAAAAAGGUAAAUAACAAUGCAUCUUUCAUUGAUAUAAUAAAGAACACUUAGGAUGUAUUUGGUACCCAUUAUGUUUUCGAAAAUAAUUUUUGUUUAGAAAUGAUUUUUUUUUAUUCUGUCCCUUGAAUGAGUUUCUAAGUAUUCGAAGGCGUUCGGUAAAUGCACAAAAUUUAUAUUCUUAAAUAGAAAUGUAUUUAGUAUGACCCUCAAGUUUUUUUUUGUAACUUAGAACUUCUUUUAAUUUUUUAAUAAUUUUAUUGCAUUUUUUCUCUUUUUUCCCUUUUCUUUUUUUUUUUCCUCUAGUCGUCGCUGGCCCCUGGUAAGGCUUGGCCGCACCUUGGCUAAGCGAGGCUCGGGUCGACAAGGCUCCAGCGACUGACUAAGGGAAGAAUAAGGAGAAGAAGAUAAGGAAAAGAAAAAAGAAAAUGCUUGAUUUUAAGACUAUUCUCGAGAAUAAAAAAAGUAACUUUUUUUUAAAUUGUUGAUUCUAUUCCAAAUCUAUUCUUAAGAACAAAAACGUUACCUAAUGGAUUUUUAUUUUUAUUUUAUUUUUUGUUCCAAGAAAUAAAAAAAAUAUAUAAUUAGAACUUUUGAUACAUUAUCAAAUAGAUUCUUAGUAAUUUUUUUGUGACAUUUCAAUUUUUUUUAAUAUAGUUGCUGGGUAUUUAAUCAUCCCCCUUUUCAGCUUUUUGCAGGCUAUUUAUUUUUAAUUAUAAUGCUUUGCCACGUGUAAAAAAUUGUGAGUGGUCUAAUUGGAUAGUUAUGUGCUACGUCCGUGGUUAACAAGACGCUUUGGUAUCACUGACCACUGAACAUUUCCCCGACAUUCUUGGACACCAUCUGCCAAUAUCCUCUUUGUGCACUCAUCUCGUCCUGUCCACUUUCGGCGACAUACCAUGAAAUGAUUGAUUUCGUUGAUGUUGUCCUCAAUUUCUCCCGUGAUUUGUCUGGUUUUCCAACAGAACACAGCAAAAGGUGAACUAAAGUGAAAAAGAAACCAUUAUUUAUGACUCAACAAGGUUCCAUUCUGAUUUACAGGUAUGUACCAUACAACACCGCACCCAAGUAGACCGAUAGCUGCACAUCCGAAUACCGGAAGAUGUCUAAUGACAGACUGAAAUAUCGGCGUCUCCAUUAUUUACCACCCAGUCGAUGCAAGCAACGACGGUGCGGUUUUUCCACGGUCAAACAAAAGUAAAGAGAAGGCUGUCCCCAUCCAUUGCAACAGAAUUCUUGAAACUUGACCACGCGACUACGUGUGAAGCAAAGAAGCUCAAAGUGGAGAAGAUAGGCGACCUUUAAUAAAAGUUCGCCUCGAAUCCAUCGGCAAGGCUUAAGUGCCAUCGGAUGGAGGCAAAGUGGCCGGGCCAUUCACAUUUAACGCCACCAUUGUCCUUGUUCCAUUCAUGCCUGCAGGUCGCAAGUCUUCAUCUUGCAGGACAUCGGGGAAACGAAAAAUUCUCGAUAUUGCGACUCCUAGGCGGAUGAUAUGGAAGGCUAUGCAGUUGAAAUAGCGCAUAUUUACCACGAAAGGAACGUACAUUGCCAUGUACAGAGCACAGAUAUGGUAUAGGGCAAUAGCUCCAAUCAACAGGACAAGAGAGGCGAGCCAGGUGCAUUUGCUUACGAGCACAUAGCCACCAGCCAUAAAUGCUACGGACAUUGUUCCGAGAGCUACCAACAGCCAUUUUAUUGCAAUUAUAUGGGCAGUUAGAGCAACGUAAGAGUCAUUCAAUUGUGCCCAAGACAACAUGAUAACCACACCUAUGGCACUGUACAUUGCGAUGGUGUUGCAAAUGACAAAUGCCUGGAACAUAUGCCUGUUCAGCAGUGUAGCCGUUCCCUGGUUAGGUUGAGAACUCUCAACGAAACCUCCAGGAACCGCAAAACCAGCUGCAAAGGUCACGGUUGCCACUAGCGUGGCGACGAUAGUUUGAGCAUUUGCCUGUCCCCUCAAUAUACCUCCGGUUUGGAGAGCAAGGACUGUAAAUUCCGCCAUAAUUUCUUGAUUUCUUGACUUAUAGAUAGCCAAAUCUUUACUUGUAGGUGCCCCGGCAGAUUUCAAAAUCAUUGAGGGUAAUCUCUAGGAAUGGGCCAAACAAGAAUAAUGCGGGGUUACUGUAAUUGGAAGCUGUCGUACAUACCGCAUGAAGAUAGAAGAGAUUCGCUUGAUUUUGGAGUUCCUAGUGAGUGAGUGCAUACCUUUUGAAGCGUAGUAUCCGUUCUUUUGAUUUGCUCUGUCGCAAUGUCAAGAGCCGUCAAGCAUUCGUUGUUGAGAAGCUUGCAAUCAACUCUUUUGUCCAGCACGAGAUCAAGCAGAACGACGGGGUGCCACGGCAAUGUGGCCAAAUGCAGAGGAGUGUUCCCGUCAUUGUCUCUCUCGUUGAUGAGCUUCUCUAGGUUGGCAUUCCCAAGUAUGUACCUCAAUGCCCGGAUUCUUCCAUGCUUGGCGCAGAUAUGAAGGNNNNNNNNNNNNNNNNNNNNNNNNNNNNNNNNNNNNNNNNNNNNNNNNNNNNNNNNNNNNNNNNNNNNNNNNNNNNNNNNNNNNNNNNNNNNNNNNNNNNCCACUGCCGAAGCAGCUCCUUUCAUUGCUUCAACAUGACCCUCUUUACAAGCAACGUGAAUCGGAAAAUGGCCGUCUCUAUCAUAUUCAACUGCACUCGAGGUGAAUUCUCUAAGUAGGAAUUUGAUGCCAUCACAGUAAUUGAUAUAUGCUGCCAAAUGAAGGGGAGUGCCUCGUCUAUCAUCUUUCAACUCAAACAAUCGUCGAUUUCUCCCACAUAUUUCCUGUAAACAUGCCUAGAUUAAGUGCAAAAUAAAACCAUGUGAAUAUUAAAUCACGCAUUCAUUUAACAAAUUAUUUUUUUAAAUAAUUGAUAGUGAUCCAAUAAAAUUUCACAUGAUUUUAGAGUACGAGAUCCUAAAUUCAAAUUUAUCUAGAUUUCUCAUUUGCCUCCCUAUAUAGUUACACAUUUUAAUCUUAAGCCAAAGUCUAAUCUUGCUUAAAGAAAAGUACUAAAUCAUUUAAAAUAUACCUGAAAAAAAAAACCCUAUACCUUCAGCUAAUAGCUUAAAUAUCUAAAACAAUUGAUAGUAGUCCUACACAAUUUCACAUGAUAUCAGAGCCACAUUCCGCCUUAGUUUGUGUGUGAAGCUCCCUAUUCAUCAAUGCCAUGUCUCGCUCUCAAACCAAUUUGCACGUGGGCCUAGUAUUCAUAUAAUCUCCCUUCACCUAUAAUUUAAAGUUUUAUAUUGAAAGAUUUAACAUUGUAUUAAAGGAGGAGGUGUGAGCUCCAUGUGUUUAUUUUACACUUUAAUCUAAGAUCAAAUUCUAACUUAUGUGUGAAGAAGAGUGUUAAAUCAACUAAAUAUUAAAUCACGUAUUUACUUAAUAGCUUAUAAAAAUUGAUAAUGGUUACAAAAUUUCACAUUAAAUUUUUGAAAAACAAAAAAGGUUAGUAUUAGAUGAGAUAUAUCUCUCCAUGUCUUCCUCUUCUUCCUUGCCCUCUCCCACUCUCGAUCUCACUCAGCAAGAGCCCUCCACUCCCUUUGUCGGUGCCAUUCCACUUGUUGCUGUCAUUGUCUAGGUCCCUCCAUCAUCUUCGCCAUCACUCCACCUUGGUCAUCUCUCUCUCUAGAUGGUCAAUUCAAUAAAUCCGACUAAUUUUAACCAGAAAUCACUUAAAUAGAUGCCAACCAUUUUACGUGACAUGAUCGAUGCUAACGUAUAUAAUUUUUAAUAAUAUUUUACUAGUUUUUUUAAAUUACUUAUUUAUUUAUUCUUUUUUUUUUGGUAAGAGGGACUUAUUUAUUUAUUCUUUUCUUUUUCCUUUUUAUAUUUUCUUCCUCUUUCUUUUUUCUCCUUCUCUUCUUCCUCUAGCUAGUCCCUAGACUGAGGGCUAGAGAGAUUGACCUCGUUGGCCUUGAGUGAAGCUCGCCUCCACCGACCACUGGCAAGGACGAGCCUCGCUCUCUCCUAGCAAGGCUCGACAUCACCGUUGCCUGCCACUAGGGAGUCUUGCCAAGUGAUGGCUCUGAUGAGCCAUGAGAUCUAGCAGGUUUCCUGCCUCUCUUCCUAUAGCCCAACAAGCAGAGCUUUUUUUGUCGAACAACAAGCAGAGAUCAACCCUUGCUUCCUAUUCACUCCAAUCUUCGCACUCUGACGAGCUGUGAGAAACACAUGAACAAUGCAACAACAGAACAUGAACCCCAAAAUUGUCAUCCACAUCCAUUACCUAGCAAGUGAACUUAAAAGGGUGAGUGAAACAAGCCAUCAUUUCAGUGUAUUCAACUUCGAUUUGAUGGCAACGGCUUGUCGUCACUAGGCAACCCUGGGUAGAUUUGGCAAGUUUAAACCUCACCCAAUGUGAGGUCAAGGCUUGUCAAGAGUGGACAAGCUUUGCCUGGCUGGUUGGAGACUAGCUAGAGGGAAAAGGAAUAAAAAAAAGUGACAAAUGGAAAAAGACAAGAAAAAUUGAAAAAAUAUUAAAAUAUUAAAAUAUUAUUAAAAAUUAUCAACGUCAAUGCCCACUACGUCACGUAAGAUGGGCGGUGUCCAUAUAGUGAUUUCUAACUAAAAUUGAUCAGAUUGGAUUAAAUUGANNNNNNNNNNNNNNNNNNNNNNNNNNNNNNNNNNNNNNNNNNNNNNNNNNNNNNNNNNNNNNNNNNNNNNNNNNNNNNNNNNNNNNNNNNNNNNNNNNNNCCUUAAGAUUUUUGGGUAAAUUUUGCCAUGAUCAAAUGUAGAGAGAGAGAGAGAGAGAGAGAGAGAGAGCAAUGAACGCCGGUGGUGGAUGGCAGCCUAUGGAGCAUUGGAGACGGCAACGUACACUGACGGAGCUUUAGACGCGCCGCCAUGCGAAGGUGGAGAAGAGAGGAAGAGAGAGAUAGGUGGGUGGGCAAUAAGGAUUAUUCCUUUUCUCUUAUUAAAUAAACUUAUAUAUGGAUAACCUCAUGUCAUGGUUGGCGUACUAGUUUGAGAAGCUGGGGAAUAUUCAGCUCAUGACUAGAGGCUAUCCAUUCAUAUCCUACCAGCUAUGAAUAAACUAUUUGACCUUAGGACCAUAUACACUGGUAAAAGAUUUAGACUUAACCGAUUUGUGAGGCUUAUAAGGUGUUUCAUUGGCCUCUAGGUAAUCAGACCUCUAUGCUCAUGCCCUAGGUUACAAAAUAAAAAAAUUAUGUAUAGAUGAUAUGCUUAUUUGUAACACGUAAAUUAAAAAGAUGGUAACGGGAAAUUUAAUUUCAUAUGGAACAAAAUAUAACAAUCAAAGAACAAGGCAAGGGAAAAAAGUAAGGCAGGCAAUCCAUGUUGUGUCGUAUUAAUUAUGUCAUAUCAAAAUAGGAGUAUAUCAAGAAUAUGAUUAAUCCAAACAUGACAAGUAUAAUAAACGUAUUGAAUUGCCUCAAUACGAACACGACAAACCUAAUAAAGCAAGUUGUAUGAUACAAUUAACAUAAUUAUCAAACUAUGUCAUUAUGUCAUGUAUUUACACUACAAAUAUACGUUAACCUUUGGUGUUAAUGUGUACAUCAUAAAGCUAAACAUGUUUAUACGUGAUAUGCCAAUUUAACAUGUUUAACACGCUGGUAAAUAAAUAACCGUUGUUCCACUUCACAUUACAUCUAGAGUUUAUUAAUGAGUUACCCUUUGUCAUCUUGUAUAACUUCUGCAUCCCUAAUGUGUUUUCAUCACGCCCUUUAUUCUUUUUAAAAUGGAUCUUACUUUUAUAAUCUUUUAAUAAUAAAAAUGUUAUUGGAGAUGAGUAUAAGGUGUUAAAACUUAGUCUUGUUUAAAAAGCCAACACACUAGCACUUUAAUUUAGAUGUGUGGGCUCGUGUCUGAACGGGUUCAGCAAGUAAUACGAAUUUUAUUGGGUCGUGAACGCGAAAACAUAGACCCAUUUAUGCCAAAUCAUUACUUGUUUGAUUGCGUGAGGUCUCGUAAGCGAAUGAUGCUGAGAAUUGCGAAGAGUAGAAAUUACCUAGUUUGCCGUGUAAGACAGCCGCAUGAACGGGCGACACGCCUUGAAUCCUUGAUGGAUCCAGCGGCACUGCCAACAGAAGCUUGAGAACCUCCAAGUCGCCACUCUCGACGGCCAGAUACAUCGGACAUUUACCUUGCUUGUUCUCCAAAUAUAUGGGUCGCAGGUCCUCACCUAUCAAGAUCCGAGCCACGCCAAGGUGGCCGUUCACAACGGCCUCAUGCAGGGGGGUGUUUCCCCUCUCAUUCUUCACUUGAACGAGAGCCCGCCGCAUCUCGCACCCACCAACGUCCGAUGCUCGGCCAAUGAGCACCCGGGCCGCGGGGGCCCUUCCGGUCCUGGCGGCCAAGUGAAGUGGGGUGUCUCCCCUGCAAUUUUUCCCGGCCACAGCCUGGUCGGGAAAGUGGCUGAUGAUGGCUCUCAGGAUCUCGUCUCUCUCGAGGCCCGCAGCGACAUGGAGCAACGAAUUUCGGGAGGGGCUCAGAAUGGCCCGCAGGCACAGACGUAGAUUGCGCUCGGAACAGCAACGUUCUACGACUCGGACGAAUUCGUCCGCAUCGCCUUGUUUUGCAGCAGUGAAUAGCUCCUGGGUCGUGGUCUCAUCGCACGAGACGGAGUCUUGCGUCAACAUCGCUUCCAAUCUCUGCAGCCCGUGUCUCCAGAAAGCACUCUCUUGCAUACUUAUCUCUACGGCCAUGACUUAUUGGUCUGAGGAAUGCUCUAACUUGGACUCGUAUGCAAUAACGAGCGUGGAGAGAGAAGUGAGCGAGCGCCAGAGCAGGGGCAGCCUUGAUGUGCUUCGUCAGCGACGGCAAGGGUGGUCAUCCUUGCUGACCUGCGCUAGGACCUACUUGAGGUUAGUGUGGAGGGCGUUGGUGGUGGCGUCGUUGGCCCGGGCGAGGUCCCUCCAAAUCUGGCUCUGCAUGAACAGCAACUUCGCCUGCUCCUCCAGCACCGAGUUGAGCUUCCCAAUCUUCUAGAUCUCCUCUUCCUUGGCUGGAGCAGGGGCGGCCAUAAUGUGCUUUGUCGGAGACGGUGGGGGAACAGCCACUUGACAAGUGCCAGAGCAACAACAAGCGUGAAGAGAGAAUUUGGGAUUCAAAAUUUGAAAGCCUUCAUCGAGGAGAAAGAAAUUGUUCGAGCUCUUGGAGGGAAAAUUUAAAGGGUUUGCUUCUCUUUCCUUCCUCCGGGAAGGAAAAAGUAAGAAGGAAAAAGUAAAUGUAUUGCACAAGAGACAGAGAGGAGGGAAGGAGGCUAGGGAGAGGAGAGAGAGGGAAGAAGCCUACUUUGUGCAGAAGAUGUCCAUGCCUCCAUGUGGUGCUUCAUAAAUGACCAAAGACCACUCUGACUUGGCGUUCCGGGACCACCCAAUAUUUUCUCAUUGGAGUUUAGUGGAGCAUCAAAGCAUGAGAGCCAUUAUUUUAUACAAGGGUAUGCAACCGAACUGGUUAUACUGGGAAAUUGGACCGGUCCACCCAGAAAAUAGGGUUGAGAACUAGUUCUCAUUGGAACCGGUCCGGGAACGGGUUCCCAAAAUUUUGAACCGGUUUAAACCGGUCGAAAAUCAGUUCUGAGUGAAUACCCACCCGGGAAUCGAUUUUUUAAGCAAAAGUCCAAAACUCUAUUUUCCCCCAAUUUCUAUUUUUACUCUUAUAGUCGCACGACAUUUUUCCUCUUGGCUCUCUCAGACGCACGCAACACUCCUCCUUCGUCAUUCCUCCUUCUCGCUCGCUUCUCUCCCUCGUCGGCUUACUGGCUCGCUGUUGCCCAUCGCCAGCUCACCGUUGCCCAUCGCCGGCUCCCUCUCGCACCUUCUGUUGCUACCAAAUUCCUAUGAUCCGAUUCAUAUUAUUGCAAAACCAAUAGGGCAAGACCAACCUCACCAAAUACUGUGUCCCCCUUGAGGACUCCGAGAAGCACAAGGUCAAGUAUGAGUUAGCCCCUCGUUUGCUCGAUUUUCCGCUCGUUCCUUGUUUCUCAAGGCUGAAUUGGCAUUUUGCUUGGCUCCAAUCUUUGUCUUCUCUUAUGUGUGUGGUUUGAUGGAUUUCUAGGUUCAUCGAUUGGUGGUCAACAAAGAUCCCAAAUUCACCAAUUUUGUCGAGGUUAGGAAUUUUCGAUAUUUUCUAUCUCAAAUUUGUUGGUCUCUUUUAUGCAGAUGCGCCGUUAGUGCACGUUAUACGGAUUUUUCCCAUUGAUUAUUUUGUCAAUUGGUGAAUUUUCGCUUAGCCACUCUAGAAUUGGGUGUCGACCUCAAUCUUCCCCUGAAAUGCUGCCGUGACGCAGUAACACCAUUCCCAACUUGGGCUAUUCUUGGUCAAUUGGGCAUGUUUUUUUUCCUUUGUCUGGUACGGACAUGCCACAAGAAGGUGGCAAAUUAGGUUCUCUCCCAUCUCUUUAAGCUGGUUACAAAUUAAGGAAUCACCUAUCAAAGUAUAGAGGAAACGAGUGUUGUAGAGAUAGAAGAAGUUCCAUUCUUUACUCAACCAAAUCAGCUGACCGUUGCUCGGGAUUCCUCCCUUUACAUCGAGAGCCAACGCAUGUAGUAUCUCUUCAAGGAUCUCAAGAUCCAAUUGCCGGCAUUAAAGCCCGAUUGAAUGCAAAAGAAUUUCGUACAUGUUAACAGCUUCUUGAUUGAACAAAAGAAGUAGUCACCAUCUAUAAUCAUCCCGAGAGGGAGAUCGAGAGAGUCCCAUGAAAUGUGAGAGUUUCUUACAGUAUUGUGGAAUCAAUGGAAAAUCUAGAUUGAUUUGCUAGAAGGAAUUAGUUAUUCUUUAAGUGCAACCAUUUGUCUCAUGUAUAAUUUUUUUUAGUAGAAUCCUAACAUUGUUGUAUAAUUUGUUUUCAGUGGAUGGAUCAAGACAAAAACAUAUCAACGGAAGUGGAUGGACAUAAUGAAAUGAGUCCGCUCAUGAAAUUGCCAUUCCAUGGAGCUGAUGAAGUGGAAUCUAUGACCGUAAGUGCGAUAAAUAAUGUGAGGGUACCUAACUCUUGUCCUCUUCAGAUAAAAAAACGAGCUAAUCAAUCAAAAGGCUUUGGAUAAUUUUUCAAGAAUCAUAAAUGAGAAAACACAUAAAACAGUUAGGGUGAAGUGCAUUCAUUGUGGGAUUGAGUAUGUAUAUAAUGUUGAUCAUGGAACAUCUACCAUGUGGAAGCACUUAAGAAAGUGGAAAAAGUAUCAUCAUACAGAUAAAUAGCAAAUGUUGUUUACACCAUGUAACAAAGAUGUGGCUAGCGAGGUAGAGGAAAAUACCACUUGUGGUGGUAGCAUCUUAACGAUAUGGAAGUUUGAUCAAGAACGUUGUAGGCACAUGCUUGCUCGGAAAAUUAUUAUUGAUGAACAACCAUUUUCCAUGGUUGAGCGUGUUGGUUUUCGUGAUUCUAUUACUGAAUUACAACCUUUUUUCCAACAUCUUUCAUAAUUUACGGUGGCUAGAGAUUGUAUGAACUUAUAUUUAAGUAAAAGAACUUAUUUAAAAGCUUACUUUGGUAAGCUUAAAUCUAGGAUUUCACUUAUGACGGAUAUGUGGAGUUUCAUUCAAAACUUGAACUAUUUAUGUUUCGUUGCAUAUUUUAUUGAUUUAAAUUGAUAGUUGCAUAAAAUAAUUAUCAAUUUUGUGAUGAUGCAUAAUCACAAUGGUAGGGAGAUUGGGAAAAUGGUGGAGAAAUGCAUUUGUAACUGGGAAAUAGAAGAAAAGGUGUCCACAAUGAUUGUAAAUAAUGCUAGUUCAAAUGAUGUAGCCGUUAGUUAUUUGAAGGAAAACUUUUCAAGAGAAGGGUUUUGAUUUUGAAUGACAAUAUUUUACAUAUGAGGUGCACUACUCAUAAACUUAACUUGAUAGUAAGAGAUGGAUAGAAUGAGGUGCGUGAUUCCAUUGCAUUUAUCCGAAACAUAGUGAGGUAUGUGAGGAGUUCUCUUGUAAGAGCCAAGACAUUCCAAUGUUGUAUUAAAAGUGAGAGGAAUGCAUAUAAUGGUUUGGUCUAUCUUGAUAUUGCCACUAGAUGGAACUCCACUUACAUGAUGUUAGACGCCGUCAUAGAGUUCGGGAAAGCUUUUCAAAGGAUGGAAGAAGAUGAUUUAUCUUUUUUAAGGAAGAUUGACAAUGAUUCUCCUCAAGAUGAAGAUUGAGAAAAUGCCAUCAUUCUUUCUAAAUUUCUAAAAUGGUUUUAUGAUGCAACCAAAAUGAUGCUAGGGAGUUCAUAUAUUACUUCAAAUGAUUAUUUUGAAAGUAUAACUAUGUUGUAUAAAUAUUUGAAUAGUGCGACGAAUUCUUUGGACCCAAAGCUUUAAGCUAUGGGCAUAAAAUUAAAGAAGAAGUUUGACAAGUAUUAUGGGAGUUUAGAUACAGUAAAUAUGAUGGUGUUGAUUGUAGUUGCAUUGGAUACUACAAGGAAGUUGAAUUAUGUAAAGUUCUAUUUUCAACAAAUUUAUGAUGGUAAAGCGAAUAUUGAUGAGAUGUAUGAUAAAGUGAAGGUUGCCUUGGAACGUUUAUACAAAUUUUAUGAGCAAUUUUUUAUUAGUUCUUCUAGUAAAGAAAAUUUUGGUAGUUCAAGUUUGAGUAAUAAUAGUAGUGCUUUCAAUGUUGAUACUAAUGACAAUGAGUGUGAAUUCAUGCUUGGCAUAAAAGCUUUCUCCACUCGACAAAAAGAGUGUUGGAUGAAAAUAAACUCGAGUUGGAUCGAUAUCUUGAAGUUGAAAGUGCAAAUGUCCUUAAUCUCGAUAUUUUGAUGUGGUGGAAGAGUAUUAGGUCAAAGUAUAAAAUUUUAUUUUUGAUGGCUCAUGAUUCUUUGUCUAUUAUUGUGACUAUAGUUGCUACAAAGUCGACUUCUAAUACAUUGAGACAUGUACUUGACAACUUUCAAAGUUCUUUGACUCCUAGAGUGGUGGAAGGUUUGAUGUACUCAAAAUUGGUUGAGAGCUAUUCGCAUGUCGAUUAAUAUUGAAGAGUACAUCAACAAUGUGGAAAAGUUUGAGGUGAGUAAGUUGUAUAUAUAUAUUUUUUCUAUCUUGUAAUUCAUUCGCCUAACUAUCUAUCGAGUGAAUGUUUUAUUUAAUCUCUUUCUUGGUUUUCAGAUUUGAAUUGUCUUACGAGGACAUUAUCAUUGAAAAAUAGACUUCAUUUUGUGGAAACUAUGGAAACUCUACCUUUGUGGUAAGUUAAUAGACUUUAUUAAAACAUAACUUUUGCAUAUUUCACUAUGGUUUCUUGUUGAUUUUUCUUUAUGUAUGAGUUUCAGGUCUUUGUCAGAGAUUUUGUACCACGUGGAUUGUCUCGCCUAAUUUCAUUUUUGAAUGAGGAGUUAUGCUGAUUUCGCUUUUGUAGGAGUUAUGCUUACAAUAAACAUUUGUUAACCGUUUUAGAUAAAUAAACAGCUUUAUGUAGUAGUUGUGGGAAUGAGACUAAUAUUAGACUCAUGUUUGUUGUAAUGUUUAUGCAAUGUUAGGAUUUUUGCUUUGUCUUAUGAUUUUGUUUAUGAUAAUUAGCCUUAUGAAUCCUUACUUUUUCAUUUAGUCAAAAAAAUUCAUGUACUUAUUGAUUACAAGUGCUUAAUAUUUCAAUUCAAAUUAAGAUGAUUACCUUAUUUUCUUGCUUAUUAAUGUAAAAUUCAAAGCCAUAUGGGAUGUUGGGCAGUUGCAAAACAGGUUUUAGUAGAAACAUGAUUGACCUUGGAACCAGAUCGGAAAAAUAUGAUGGUUUGGGUAUAGGAUGGUCCAAUGCAAACAUGGUUGGGUACAAUGUUCGAAAAAGGAGAACCGGUUAUAAUAAAGUCGGGCACAGGGUUCAGGUCUAGAACUUACCCACCCUGGACCGACCACCUCUACUUCUAUACACAAUGAUGGAGCCCACCAAGGCCAAAUGACCACCUCUGUGCAAAGUAAUAAUGUCCUCCUGCUUUUUCUAAAGCUACUUUUCCCCCUUAUUAGGUUAUAAUACAAUAUAAUAAAGUGCAUUGGACUAUAUUUUUGUCAUAGGAAAAUGUUUUUUCUAACGUGGAAUAUCAUAGCGUGGGUCAUCAAAAGUCAUUUCAUAUUAGGAGUGUGAUGAUCAUCUGAUUCUUGCUUUUCAUAUUCCAUUAAGUCCUGACCAAUUGAGUUCACAAGACAAUCAUUACUAGGGUUAAAAAGAAAUUAGGGUCCAGUCUCCCCUAUACUGUUCAUAAGUGCCUCUUGAGAAAAUUGUAGAAGUCAAUCAUUCAAAAUGCAUGAUUUUGAGGCAUUUUACCUUGAAAUUCGAUCUUAUUUGACAUCUUAAAACUAAAUUGUACAUUACUCAAACAUUACACUUCCAAAUCAUAUGUGAUUUGAUAUAAAAUAAUUUAAGAAUCUCAUUAAUUUAACACCAAUGAAAAUAGUUCAGAAGCGGCAAUGUUCCUUGGACAAAGUCAAGGACUUACUUGGACAAAUGGAAAGAUUUGGGACAUCAUAACAUGUAAACAAACGGUGGUGAAUUUUUUAAGAGGGGGCUUGAGAUAAACAACGACCAAUGAAGAUAAAUUUGUACUUCUUGCCAAGGUAGAGAUUUGUUGAUUAUGGCCCAAAGUUGUUCUCGUUUGAAUUGGAAUCAACAUGAGUUUGACUUGAUGUUUCUGGACACUCGACGUGUUUGUGGGGGCCGAUGUCCGAAAUCAUGUGAGCAAUUUGGUGAAGCUGAUAAAAAAAGACCAAGAGAUAUUAGUCUGAUACUUUCCAAUUGUAAUUGAUUACUGUACCUGAAAAAUGCAGAUAAUGCCGAACAAGGACUCGGAGAAAACAGGGAAAAGAGACAAGACUCCCUAAGUCUUCGUCUUCUCCUUAUUUAUCACGGAAACUUCUGUUAAGUGUGAAAUGAACCCAAGUGAUGCAGGUUUUGUUUGAAGUGAGCAUGAGAACGCGGAGACAAAUAGUAGAUUCACCAUUGUUUAAUCUGUUAAAUAAAAGCUCCAAAGAACAUUGAGCCAAUUGGAAGACGACCUGUCAUAUGUUUUUUUUUUUUUUUUUUUGGUCGUAACCUGUGAUAUGUUUGACAAGUUAAACAUCAGCCAAUGCAUUCCAAGUCUUUGCUGGAGUCCAUGUUCUUUGUAAGGUGAGAUGGUGAUGGAAGUCGCUCAAAGUUGUGAAGAACUAAUAUAAAAAGACGAGACUUCUUUUGAGCCUAAUAAUGUUUCUUUUCCUCAAUUUUUUCGCUUCUUAGUUAGAGGCUUUCCGAGUUUGAAUCUCUCUCUGUUCACACUCUCCAAUCUGCUACCUUUACUCGAAAGCCAUUGGCAGGCGCGCAGAGAAAUUGAUGCUGAUCACUAUUCUCGAGAAAAUUAUAGUGCUUGCCAAUUUUUUUUCUUACUGAAGCUGUGAUCUACUGUAGUUGAAUGAACGUGUAAUGGCCGUGCAGGAACACCGACCAGCCGCUCCAUCGUUUGCAACUGAUUGUAUGUGGCAAUCUGCACCGACUAUAAAACUUAAAUAUAGAAAAAAUGGCAAUGGUUGNNNNNNNNNNNNNNNNNNNNNNNNNNNNNNNNNNNNNNNNNNNNNNNNNNNNNNNNNNNNNNNNNNNNNNNNNNNNNNNNNNNNNNNNNNNNNNNNNNNNCAUGCCAUCCGAGUAAAUCCAUCUUUGCAAACUUUUUCUGAACCAAUUCCAAUUACUGGUCAACCAUGACAAUGAGGGACGUAAUUCAUUUGAAUGUGACAAAGUAGAAAAGCAUUAAUCACCUGAUUAAACAUCAGAAUACAAUUGUUUUUGCUCCCCGGUCCAACCACCCUGAUGUGCAUAAGUAGAAUCGUCAAAAGGAGUUUUCCAGCUGAAUUCAAUUACUAAAGGAGCUCAUUUAUCGUCAUCAAUUUUGAGGGAUUAGACGAGAGAACAACCGUGUAUAUACUCUGAAUCCCCAUGCUAUUAGACGUUUACUCAGGUGUCGACUGACUAUGUUUUAUCCCAAAACAACUGUUUGACUGAUUCUGGAUGCUUCCACAAAAAUACCUCCCUCGCACAACCGUUCUUCAUUGUAGUUCAUCGCGCCUCCAUCUUCUUACGCAGUGUUUUCUACGAACCUACCUGAGUUGAUUCGUGGGAAUUCUUCAAAUGCAUGAGAACUCGAGCCUAAAGCAAGAGAGGCAUUCUUCUAUACGCAAUGAUGGAGCCCAGCAGGAAUUGAAAAAAACAGUUGAACGACAACCUGAGGAAAUGUAAUAAUGCCCUCACUUUUCCUAAAAGCCACCUUUUUUUCUACCCUUAUUAGGUUGUUGUAUAAUGAUAUAAAGUGUGUUGGACAAUACUUUCGUCAUGGAAAAACAGAUUCUCUGAUAUGGAAUAUGAGAGAGUGGAUCAUGAAAAGCCGGUUCAUGUUGGGAUUGUGAUGAUCAUCUGAUUCUUGAUUUUCCAAUUCCAUUAAGUCAAUUAACUUCACAAUACAAUCAUUAUUAGGAACAAUCAAUCCUGACAAUAAUUGAAAAAAUUAAGAUCAAAUCUCUCCUAUGCUGUUGAUAAGUGCGUCUUGAGAAAAAAGGCUGAAUUCAAUCACUCAAAAUGCAUUGUUUUAAGGUAUUUUACCUUGAAAGUCAACCUGGUUUGGCAUCUUCAAAAGUAAAUUGUACAUUACUAAAGUAUAACAGCUCCGAUUCAGAGAUGAUCAAAUAUGAAACAUGCCUUGUAGCAAAAGGAUUCAAUAACCUUAUCAAGUGAAUGCACUCCCUUUAACUCGGAAGAACAGCGGCUAUGCAGGUCAAAGCAUUAAAAGAAGUAAUGCUUUUUCACUAUCUUCCAAGGUUUGUGGCAGUACCUGAUUCAAGUGCAGCCAUUUUUGGAGCAGUAUCUAAGACUAAUGCUCUGGAAACUGGAGAUUAAACCUCAGCUUCACCAAUUGUGAGAGAGAGAGAGAGAGAGAGAGAGAGAGAGAGAGAGAGAGAGAGAGAGAGAGAGAGAGAGAGAGAGAGAGAGAGAGAGAGAGUGAGUGUGUCCUUGCGUGUGUAAUAUAAUUGUUUAUUUGAGAGUAACGAUUCAAGUUGACGGAUAAUGGAUAAUGGCACCUGCCAAUGUUCUACAUGUAUUUUAGCUAUUACAUCGUUUCCACAACUUCACUCGAUGUCGAAUGAAAUUUGAGGGAGACGUGACCGCUUGUUCCAUCCUCCAAGACCUCGGAGUUUAUCGAGCUCUUUAAUGUAGAAAUAGUUGCGAUUUUUCUCUUACCUUCAAAUUCACAUACCAUCUUGCUUUGUGGACUAAGAUCUCGAGAUAAAUCGGUGAGCAGUCGAUGAAUGAAUCAAAAGGAACCCCCUGGUGGGGUUUUCUUGGGCAAUAAUCUCGUGCAAAAAUGCUCGUUUUGACAGGGGUUUCUCUCUUCCAUUCUUCUCUCUUUCAUACUGCUUUUACCCUUAGUUGUAUGGCUGCCUAUGCCCGCUCUUUUCGAUUCACAUCAUAGCACAGCAAUACAUGGGAAAUUUCUGCGAAGCGCAAAUCUAUUCUUCUCUCUUUCACACUGCUUUUACCGUUGCUUGUACUGCUGCCUAUGCUCGCUCUUUUCGAUUCGCAUCUUAGCACAGCAAUACAUGGUUUCUGCGAAGCCCAAUUCUAUUCUUCUCUCUUUCAUACUGCUUUUACCCUUCUUAGCACAGCAAUAUAUGGGACAUUUCUGGAAGCACAAUUCUAUCCUUCUCUCUUUCAUAUUGCUUUUACGCUUCUUAGCACAGCAAUAUAUGGGAAAUUUCUGGAAGCACAAUUCUAUCCUUCUCUCUUUCAUAUUGCUUUUAUCCUUCUUAGCACAGCAAUAUAUGGCAAAUUUCUGGAAGCACAAUUCUAUCCUUCUCUCUUUCAUAUUGCUUUUACCAUUGUACGGCUGCAUAUGCCCGCUCUUUUUGACUCGCGUCUUAGCACAGCAAUACAUGGGAAAUUUCUGGGAAGCACAAGGCGGACGAUGCUAUCAACUCUAGCCAAAAUUGAAGCAUUUUUAGCAUUUUCUUUUUGUUCAUGUCGGAGAUAAAUGAAGAGGUCCGGAAUAUUGGAAUGAAAAUUCUCUUCUAGAAAAUUGAGGGCGGAUUCGUAAUUUCCGCCAUUUUUCGCCCCAACACGCCAAAAAUAUAUUCGAAAAUAUGGAAAAUGUCCUUGCGGGAGUCGUAAUUGGACAUGCACUCCGUUUUUAUGCGGAUCAUUAUUGAGUGGUUGAAGAAGGAAUUUCGAUCUCACCACAGGCAAUUGACAUGGGAGCAUCUUAAUCUAAAUGUGUAAUGUGCAUUGCAUUAUCUCCAACACUUUUUGACAUGACCAUUCAAUCAAUGACAGAGUUCGUUACCACAUAUUGACUAGUGCUCUAAAUGCCCAACAAUUGUUAUUAAAACUGCAUGAAAUACUCAAUAAUUAAAGGCAAUGUGAUAGUGAUACCUGAAUUCUUGUUUAAGGUGCAUUAUCAUAAUUGAACUUUAAAUAGAUUUACUUAGGUCUAACAACUUUGUUACAACGUGCAAUGCAUUUCUGAAUUUUCAAUUGAUUCAAUUAGAACGCUAAGCUUUUGUUUAUAGUGUUUGUAAUUGAUUGAUCUUUGGAAAUUCAGCUUGCUCUUGUGAAAUUAUUUUAGUAUGUUUUAUAUGUCAUACGCCCACUGAUUAUCCUCAAGGAAAUUUCUAAAAUGGACAACAAUCUACAACAGCCAGUAAAUUAAAAAUAAAAUAAAAUUAUACAAGUAGAUUUCGCCUGUAUAACAAUUAUCUGAAAUUAUAGAGAAAUGAUACACAUUCGCUUUUUAUGUGUGAUUCAUUUUAAACAAACAAAUUUGCUUAGUCCCUUUGAUCAUUCUCAUUCAUUAUAUCAGCUAGUGAGAAGUGCAGAGGAUUUUGCUGUUCUUUUCAAAGCACAGCAAACAAAUCCAUUCUCCAUUUCACAUGAUCUCCAUUGAAUCAGGAAGAAGGCACAUUGCUCUGUCGAGUGAGAGGUUUAUCCUAAUCCGAAACCCUUUUCAAACUUAAGAUGAUACUGAAUAUUUAAAAAUAAUUUAGGAAUCUCGUUCAUUUAUAACCAAUCAAAAGUUUUGGAGUGACAAUACUCCUCGGGCAAAGUGUAGGACCUACUUGAUAAAUUGAAAGGCCGGGCAUAUCAUUACAUGCUAACUAACAAUGUUGAAUUUUAGGACUGAAAAUUCGAAAACUAGUGGUCUCACUGCCCCUAGAUUUGAUGAUACGUUAUUUGACGAAAUCAAUUGGAUUUGCAAUCUCCAAAGAGACUCGACAAUUAAAUUGAAAUUCCCGUUGGAUGAAAAGGUUAAAAGCAUAGCCACAAGCAUUUGCCUUUUAUUGAUCGAACCUUGUUGCUUCGAUGUUGGAAACAGACUUAAGGUUUUUUCUCCUCGAUAUGUCCCUAUGCAACAGAAGUUUGAAGGAACUAUCAGCUGUCGGCAAACUGAGUAACUUCCUUCGGGGUGCAUGAAACUUUUUAUCGAAAUCGUGGACAAUCUGUUGCAUACAUCAGAAGACGGAUUUGCAUAUAGAUGAAUCGCACAAAGGGAUAUCACUUGCUUACUUCAAGCCAACUGAAAAAAGAGUGGAAAAGUCCUGGCAGCUCUAUAUCAGUUUCCUUAAUAGGGUCAUCUAUUAAAAUAUAUCUCGAAUUUGAACAUGUUGAACAAAGCCCAACUGAUGAGAAUGUGUGAAUUUGACCAUCUGCGAGUCAAAAAUUGGCGUACGAGAAUUGGCUGGCCGAGAUUUCAAAAAGCGUGAAGAAGAAUCAAUUACGCGUGACUUUGUUGCCUUCUCCAAGUCCAAUUUAUCCUGCGUGUUGGAUUCUUUGGCACGCUGAAUUUGUUGCCGCAGAAGAAGGGGUUCACACACACACAGAGAUACGUGAUCAUAAUUGUACUUUAAAUUGAUUUACUUAAGUCCAAGAAUUUUAUUCUAAUACGCAAUGCAUUCAUGCUUUCCCAUGAUUUGUUUAGAUGUCCUACACUUUUGUUUAGUAUGUGAAAUUGGUCCAUCUCUAGAACUUUAGUUUGUUCAAUUAUGACUCUUGAAAUUAUUUUAGAAUGUUCAUAUGUCUGACGCCGUUUAUUACCCAAAGGAAAUGGCUACAAUGGACAACAAUCAACUGAAGCCGCUGGAUAAAAAAAUUAUACAAAUGGAUUUCGUAUGUGUAAUAUAUAUCCCAAAUGAUAAAAAAAUAGUAGACAUUCGUUUCUUAUGUGUAAUUCAUUUGAAACAAAAGUUUUGCUCGGUCACUUUAAAUGGUCAUUCUUAUUCAUUAUCUCAAAAUGUCAGAUUAGUAUGGAUUUUGCUGUUCUUGUUAAAGCAUCGCAGACAUUCCGUUCUCCUUUAACAUAUUAUACGCUAGGAUCAGGGAGAAAGCACAUUGUUUUGUCAAGUGAGAGGUUUUGUCCUUUUCUGAAACCUUUUUUGAACUUACGAAUGAUAGUGAAUAUUUGAAAACAGUUUAGAAACCUCAUUAAUAUAAAACCGAUGAAAAGUUCAAGAGGGACAAUGCUUGGGCAAAGUUAAGGAUUUAAUUAGACAAAUUGAAAGGUUGGGGACAUCAUAACACGUAAAUGAACAAUGGUGAAUUUUUUAAGACUCUUAGUGUCCUUGGACUUGGUUAGCAUUUGCAGUGAAUGAGGAGACCAAGGAGGCUCCAAGAGAUAUGAGAUGAUAAAUUGGGAUUUUCGCCAAAGUGGAGAUUUAUUGAUUAUGACUCGAAAUUAAAUUUGUUUAGUUUGGAAUCGACACUAGCUUCAUUUUCGGACACUCAAAAGUGUUUGUAAGGGCUUGGAAAUGGAGACGGACGACUGGAGGAUGCAAGAAGCCGGCCCCCCUAGCCCUAGCACCUGCACAAACCGGGCAACUAGGCGAGGACUUGGCCAAGAAGUGGCAGGGUUGCCGGACACCCGGCAAACCUCCUAAGCGAGAAGCGUUUUCCAACAUAGUGCCCAAGUGUCCGGGCCUAUUUUGGUCAGAUACCCACCCCCUAUUUUUAUGUAUAUUUCUAAAAGGGAUUUAGGAAGAGUGAGUGAGAAAACUCCUUUCUUACGGUUGAUUCUAGUGGACUCGGGUUUUAUCUAGGACCCUUGUGAGUAAAUGUGAUUAAACGAUUUUAAUCUUCUCUUUACCGAUUAUAGUAGAACCAUUUCAUUGAUAUCUCUAUAGAGCACACCGCCAGACAAUAUAAAACUUUUGUGUUUAGGUUUAAGUUUUACAAUUUAAUUCUCGCUCGAAUCAUUUCAUUUAUGUACCUGCAUCAGUCAUGACAAUAGUUGAUGCAAAAUUCGAACUAUGCAAUUCAGCCUAAAUAAAUCUCCCAAGAAUAGCAAGGUUGGUUAAACUAGGAGUGAAAUCUCAUUCUACCAUUCUGGACAUAGUGAGCGCAUAAGAGGAUGCUGUAUUUUGUUUUUACAUUGAAAUCGCGUGAGCAAUUUGGUGAAAAGGAUAAAAAAAGACCAAGACAUAUUAAUCAGAUACUGUUCCACGCAUAAUUGAUUACCGUACCUGGAAAAUGCAGAUAAUGCCAAACAAGGACUCGCGAUCAUGAUUUUCCUACCUCCAUAGGGAAAAGAAAAUAGGAAGAAGAGACCGACUGCCUAAGUCUUCAUCUUCUCCUUAUUUAUCAAAGAAACUUCUGUAAAAUAUGAAAUAAACCCAAGUGAUGCAGGUUUUGUAAAAGUGAACAUGAGAACAUGGAGUCAAAACAGUAGAUUCACCAUUUUUUAAUCUGAAAACAAAAGCUCUAGAGAGUAUUCAGCCAAUUGGAACAAGACCUGUCAUUUGUUUAACAAAAUUAAACAUCAGCAAAUGGAAUCCAAGUCUUUGCUCUAGUCCACCCUCUUAGUACAGGUGAGAAGAACUAAUAUAAAAAGACCAAGACUUCUUUUGAGUCUAAUUAUGUUUUUUUUUCCUCAUUUUUUUCUUUUUUGCAUCUUAAGGAGUCCUCUCAUCUAUAUUCAACCUUGCACGAAAAAAGAUGAAAAACCCUAUGAGCGGAUGGUCUUGCAGCCAAAAUAAUUGGAAAACACCGGUAGUUGCAUAAGUGGUUCGGUCAGAUCCACAUAUUCCAUGGCAUUAGUUCAAAUUCAUGCGACUUUUAUCAAACCUUCACAUGAACGAUUCUAUAGUCGUUGGAUAUCAUGUAAAAGGAAUCAGGACAAAAGGCAAUUCAUUACAAUGACUUAUUUUGAAUGCGGGUGUCGAAUCUGGAGUGUUCUACUCACUAGACCAAAUAAAAGACCUCAUAAGGGCUGUAUAACAGCUUUAUACCAGAAUUACACAUAGAGAAUGGCCUGGAGACCAAAUUAAAUACUAUAAUUAUAAGAUUGGUAUACCACCCAGGACAUUAAUCUUGUCUUCAUUAAAAUAUACAAUGCAUAUAGCUGUUUAAUGACCUGCUUAUACAAAUUGGCAAUUAUAAACCUCGUGUUCAGAAUGAUAACUAAGAUGGGAAGCCCAAGUUGAAUUGCUUUUUCUCAAUAAAUAUCCUUGUCAAGAAUCGAAAUUCACAGACUCUAUUACAUUUUAAGAAUCUGUCCAACUAAGGUUCUCUUGAUUUUGUAUGCAAGGCUGGCUUCGGGAUAUAGAAGAGUAAUCCUGUUUCAUACUCAUGCAGGUAUUAUAGCAGUCAAUAAAUCACGAUCCCACAUAACUUGAACAAUUACUGAAAUUGCACAAUCUGUACUAGUUCGAUCACCAAACACUUAUGUAACAAAAUGUUACAAAGUAGUUCUUUCUGAAGUAAACAAGCGCUUGGUUCUGCAACUGAGCAAGAACAUGUACAUACAUUAACAGAAAGUUCCUGCAAGCGAUAUGUCUAUGAACAAUAAUAGAACUGAUUCAAACCACAAACUCAACCAUGUUUUGUUCACUUUUCAUCAACACAUACUUCGUUGUCUUCUUCUCCAUCUUCAUCAACUUCUUCACUUUCAUCUCCUUCCUCAUCAUAAUAUGCUUCUUCUUCAACAUAGUUGUUGCUGCCAUCGUCAUCAUUUUCAUCGUUAAGUGUCCACCAGAUUUGCCUGCAAAGGUCAAGCGCAAAAAAGUACAUAUCAAUGCAAAAUAACUUGACACUAACGAAAACUCUUCCCAAGCCAAGACCCCAACUUAAAUUUAUAGCACAUAGCAGAGCAAAUUCUGGACGAAAUCAUCUAAUUUAGUCUUGAGAGAGAGAGACUAACAGAGCUUACAAGAUUGUAGAUAUAUAAUGAAAGCUAGGACUGACAAACGAAGAGAAGCAGCAACAGCCAAAUCUUGUGUAUCACUAUCACACUUUCAUUGUGGUUCAACCAUUCGACCAGACAAAACAAUGACAAGAAUCUGAAUUUCGAAGCAUAACAUACAGACAGAUUUAAACAUGAGGGCAUUAAAGAUACGACACCUACCGCUUAUAAAUAAAAUGAAACAAGUAAAUGUACAGGAAUCUUUUACAUUCUGAGAUUCUUACACAAAGUGCUAAGAGAAAAUGGAAAAAAAGAGAAAAGAGAGCAAGCACAUAUAGAGACUUUUUGAGUUUGAAUUUCUCUCUGUUCACACUCUCCAAUCUGCUACCUUUACUCGAAAGCCAUUAGCAGGCACGCCGAGAAAUUGAGCUAGAUUAUUAUUCUCGAGAAAAUUAUACUGCUUGCCAAUUCUUUUCACCAAAGCUUUGAUCUACUGUUGUUGAAUGAACAUGUAAUGACCGUGAAGGAACACUGACCAGCUGCUCCAUCAUCUGCAACUGAUCAUAUGUAGCAAUCUGCACCGACUAAAGGAGUUAAAUAUAGAAAAAAUGGCAAUGGUUGAUUGAUGAAUGUGUCAUCCGAAUAAAUUCCUUCUUUACAAACUUUUCUGAACCAAUUCCUAUUGCUGGUCAAAUAUGACAACGAGGGACAUAAUUCAUUUGAAUGCGACAUAGUAGAAAAGCGUUAAUCACCUGAUUUAGACGUCAGAAUACAGCAGUUUUUGCUUCCCUAUCCAACCACCCUGAUUUGCAUAAGUAGAAACGUCAAAAGGGUUUUUCCAGCUGAAUUCAACUACUAAAGGAGCUCAUUCAUCUUCAUUGAUUUUGAGGGAUUAGACGAGAGAACAACCGCAGAUAUACUCUGAAUCCCUAUGCUGUUAGAAGUUUAUCAGCACAACAAAGGAUGCUGGAUGAGGGGGAAAUCAGAGUAAAAACUUUUAAAAAACGACGAAUUCUUUUUUUCUGUUGACCAAAUGGAUUUUGAUGAAGAAAUUCAAUGCUCCACUAAAAUCUACCACUAAUACACAAGAUUCAGAUGACAAGACACUUGGAUUAUCAAAAUCCAGUAGAGUCAAUUUAAACCAUCAUGAGAAAAUAUAAGAGGUGAGAUUGGAGUGAAAAAAUACUUGCCAUGCAUUUAUGAGUAUUUAGACAUGCCAUGAAGUGACCUUUCCUGAUAAUCAGGUCACUGAAUAUAACUACCAGGUAACCUGGUCAUUGUUAGAGUGGGAAAGUAGUUCGCUCCAGGCAUUACAGUAAAACUAACGUACUGCAUGAGCUUCCAUUUUUCGCUGAAAUUCGCAGCCAUAAGGAAUACCUUGAUGGUAAAGCAAACACAUCAAUGGAGUUUCCAACACUAGAAAAGAAUUUUGGAAUGGAAGGGUCUUAUUAAUUACUAAAGCUUGCUAAACACAACCUGCUAUUACCUUUUACUCUGUAUCAAGCAUUGCGAAACAUUAAGGUGUUUCUGACCUUUUACAUAGGGUCGACUCUUCUGAACACUUAUGCCAAUUUGUGCCCCAAGAUUAUACAACAGGCAUUUGCCUCGUAUGGAUUGAAUCUCGUUGCUUUUAUAUUUGAAGCAGAUUGUUUUCCUCGCUAUAUCCCUACCCAACAGAGUUUCGAAGGAACUAUCAGCUGUUGCCAAAUUGAGUAGCUUUAAACCAAAUGCAUAAGAUUUCCGAAUAAAAUCUUGGACAAUCUGCUGUAUACAUUAAAAGACGAAGUUGCAAAUAGAUGAAUUGCAUGAAGAGAUAAUGAAGAAAGAGCGCACAAGAGUCCUAGCCGUGCGAUGUCGCUUUCUAAAACAGGGCUGUCGACGAAUUGAUUAGAAGCAAACAAUACUUGUCGAGCAGAGUUAAAUGUGCAAGAGACGUAAUUCAGAUUUCUCAGCGACCAAGGCAUAGCGGUUUAAACUUUAACAACCAGGAGAUUGAUGGAAGCAACCAAUCCCUCAGUUGUUUAAAAAUUUUAUGCUCAGCAUUGGUGUGAAGGGGUAAUAGAAGCGAACCUAUGUGAUUAAAUCUAGCAAUACUUCUCUAUCCUAUUAGAAUGAAUAUGUACGCAGUAAGAUUGUAUAUCAGGCAUUCCUGUCAGGAAGACAGAACUUUCCAAUCAUUAUAAUAGUUGGCGGUCAAAAGAGGUGGCAAGCAAAAUGAAAUUCACAGGAGUGGGUGAAGGUACACGCAAUCAAUAUCUGUCCUGUGCUUAUUAUUGAAGGACAUUGAAACUCUAGAUCUAUCAAUGCCUAAAUUUGAUUGAAGCACAAUAAACCUAAAAAUAAAUGGUUAUACUACUAAAGUGACCGUAUAUAUAUUGAAUUUUAAUGCGGGUUGCUUCUGGAAAUGACACCAUACUCCUGCAGGUGGUGUAGUUUUCCUGUGAGGAAAAAACAAAGAUCACUACAUGGUUCAUUUUCAUUUCCUCCUUUUGUCUUUAGCAGAUCUACUUCAAUAGCUAAGCGAAUCUUACUUAGAAUAGAACACCUUUGCUUUCUACCAUCUAUAUGAAAUUUAUACCCCAAAUUGAAUUCCUAAGGGUAUGUACAUUUCGUGUUAUGCUUCACUUCAUAUAUAUGCUCAAAUACUAGAACACAAAAUUAAGAAACCAUUAAAUGAAAAUGGCUUUCAAAGAAUUUCAUCGUUUAUUUGUUUUGGGUGUUCAAAAUACAGUAACGGAGAAUUGACCGUAAAUAUAGAGCACAAAGGAGAAUAACAAAAGCUGCAGCAAAUUACACCGAGCGAACGCAACAUUAUGCUCUCACGCAACCUUUGACUUGCACUGGACACGGUCUCAUAGUCCGGACCCAGCAUUGGGCUUUCAGCAUUGGGGAUGCUAGCAUUGGGCAAAUGGGCAUUUAAAAACACAUACCAAACACCAAAAAUUUUCCCCGAGGGGCUUUGGGCUCCCAAAGCCCCUUGGGAAUGCCCAACCAAACACCCCCUAUGACUCCUUGAACAACUUGACGUGUCAUAACAAAAGCUCGAAAGGGCAAGCCACUAAAACCCGGGCAUCCUAUAGCAGGAAAAUUUUCCAAAAAAUACCUGAAGUACGGUCGUGUUUGCGAAGGAAAACUCUAGAAUAAUGCUUGCCUCGAAGAAGUCCUGAAGUUGAUGACUUCAUCUCAACUGACCCCGGCUCACCAGUAUCUCAAAUCCUCGCGUUUCCUCGUUCACAGCUACCACGUCUAGCUGCAGCCAUCUCGACCUCCAAUGCAGCAUCACAACCUCUGGUAACCCUCUGCGACCGCUGACAGUCAUCGGAAUCGUCUCCAGCGUGCUUGGCCGAGACACCUCUGUCUACGGCUCCACCAUUUUUUAACAUCCAAGAGCUCUCCUUUUUUUUUUUUUUUUUUUCAGGGGAUCUUUCGAGCAGGUUCGAGCUUGGCUGAUCGGUCUUCCGUGCAUUAAUCUUCUCAGCUCGAAUAUGCGGGCUUGGCAGGCGGGGCUGGACUUGGGCGGAGGAGCUUGGGAAGUAGGCACAUGCAAUAGCUUACCAACGAAAUAAUUUUGACCACUUAGCAGGUUCAGGGAGGGGCUUAGACUUCGCGAAAACGGCGUUUUCGCUCAAAUCUGGUCUUCACAUCGUGAUGGAGCGCAAACCCCAGUCAUCUCGGAGUACGGCCGAAACUUCCUCUCCGGCUUCCUGAAUUGUAAUCCAGAGUCUCGCCUCUUUCGAUUCAACUCAUCCAGGGAUUCGAAUGAUGCGAAUCAAUCAUCGAACGAACUAGGGCUUUCGGUUUUUGGGGCUCACCGUUUCGUUGAUUUUAGCGCCGGCAUUGGGGCUUCCGGUCUUCGACUCUUCUUCCAUGGCGCGGACGAUGGCGGGACACUUGCAUGCCUGGAUUUAGAUUAAAUAAAAGGUAAAAUGUAAAAAUAAAUCUAGACGAACUUUAUGGAUAUUAAACUAUUAUAUCUAUAUUUUCAUCCUAUCUAUUCAAUAAUAGCAAUUAGCGGGAAUAACUCUUUAAAUUACUUAUUUCAUUGAUGACUGUCGUUUCAACACUUAAAGAUGGAAAAAGACUUGAUUAAUUUUUAUAAAGAAGAAAGUUGUAUAUGACUCAACCGGCUCGAUCUAUUUCUCAUUAAAUUUAUAUGAAACUUUUUAUUUGCCAUACUUUGUACAUCUAUAUUAUCAUAUAGGCAAGUCCUAAACCAAAUUAAAGGUAAGUAGGAUUCAAUUUAAAAUUUAGUCAAAUUAAUUACAUAAAAUAGUCAUUCAUAUGGCUCGAAGUUUUUACUCUUUACCAUCAUCAUCUAUCAAUUUAGUUAACUCGAAAUUGCCAUUGAUCUUGAUCAGGCUAAUCCUCUCGGAUUCCUUUAGGUCUAGACAUACUAAUGAGACGAAUAGUGUAUCGAAGAGGCACUAAUUCACCAACUCCGAUCUUGAGCGCACUACAUGUUGGCCCAAAUCCAUGACCGAUGGCGUUUGAUCGCAAGAACCGAUGUCCACAGUUGGUGCAUUUGGGAGCUCCACCCGGACCUUCGAAGCAAGAUCCCCGAGGAAAUUGCAUCGAACUUGACAACCGAGGCGACUUUCGAGCCCGAGUUGACGUCGAUGAUCGGGUCAUUGAAGAGGACUACAAGUGAGCUGGUCAUUUUUAUACUUGGAAAGUAGUUCGGUCUAGGUACAGCGCUAAACUAAGAUACUGCAUUGACACGGAGCUACUAUUUAUCGCCGAAAUUCACAGCCAUAAGAAUUAUCUUGAUAGUAAAGCCAACACAUCGUUGAAGUUCCCAAUGCUUGAAAAGAAUUUCGGAAUAGAAGGGUCUCAGCCAUUACAUAAGCUCCAAUUCGACCGCUAAUUGAACCACACAUAAGAAUAGAACAUUCUUGCAUUUUACCAUGAAGGUUAUGCCCCAAUGUGAAUUCCCAAAGGUAUUGAAAUUUAGACUUGCAUUCCAUAUCAUAUAUAUUCCCAUAUUCCCAAAGCUCAAGAACCAAAAAAGGAAAAAAGGGUUAGAUGAUGCCUUUCAAGUUUUCACUUAUUAGUUUUGGGUGUUCAAAAUACAGUAACAGAAAAUGGAAUAUAAAAAUAGAGCAUAUAAAGUUAGAACAAGAGCUGAAGCAAAUAACACUGAGCAAAAGCAAUAUCAUCCUCUUACACAACCCCUUGACUUGCACUGUAUGGGGUAUCAUAAUCUGAACAAUGACUACUCGCCUGGCUUGAUGUUUCUGAAAAAAACUUAAAAGGACAAAUUGAUAAAACCAUCACACCUCAACUCUACAAACAUAGGAAAAAUGGCACAAUUGUCCUUCAAUCCAAAGGACGCAGUCUCAUACAAGUUACCAAUAUAAACCUGUUAUCAAAAUAUAUAUUCAUUAACAUCUCAUAGGAAUAAUAGGAUAGUUACAUGACUAGAGUUCUAAAAUCCACCAACAUAAUAUAUAUAUCUCCAGGGACUGACAAACUAAACCCAAAAAGUAUCAUCACAAGUUAUACGUACAAUUAUCUCAAGUUAUACCCAAAACCCAAAUUCCUAAGAUUCCUCCAGUGAUGUAGCUUUCCUCCUAUUUUUCGGCAGUUGAAAAAGAAUUGCAAUGAAUGGUAUGAGCAAAGCACCUCUCAAUAAAUAGUACAUUUCUCAACAGAUAGAGCAUAAACUAUUCACAGUAUAAACAGCAACAGAAACACAACCAAAUCCAGUAUAUAAUAUACGUAAAAGUCUAAAUAUGAGUUACAUCACUCUAACAAUGUUUUCAACGUAUUAGAAAAAUGCUCAUUCGAUCAACAAUAUUUAAGUAAACAUCUGAGGUCUAGUCUAUUGAUCACUCUAGUACUUCAUAUUAAACUAUAGCCAUGUCUAACGCCCCAUGACAAGGCUUACCAAGGUAUCCUUCUAGGCAUAGGUCUCCACUAAUCUCAGCUGGUGGCUUUGGCUAUACAAGACAUCCUGAGAACAUGUUUGCUUACUCACAUCCCUUUAAUGAUUUCAGAUCAUAGUGAUAAGAGGAUAAAAUAAUCAAUAUAAUCCUAUCUGCAACAAACCCAUUUCAGAACUCGUUUGAUAAACCGGAGUAAAAAAUCGAUACAACCCUUCACAAUUCCAUCCACAAGAAGAAUACAUACAUGAAGAAUUUCUCAAACAAUUUCAUAAAUAAUAAACUGUCCAACCAUCUCAGGAGAUAUUUUACUAUGCUAUUUCAAAUAACCAAAUGGGUAUGAAAUGCAAGAUCUAGCUUUAUACAACAAAAAUGUUCUAAACACCAUUUAAAAAAAAAAAAAAAUCAUAGCGUGCAAUGUUCUCGUUCAUAACUUAUGGCAUAUGUAAUAUCUAUGAUUUUCAAGCCGUGAGUUUACAAAUCAUAGAAGAAAUAAGUACCACUCCUCGCUAACCAAAAGCUAAAUUAAAAGCUUUACCACCUGAAAAGCUAAAAAAUCCUAUCAAAGAAAGCAUUAACCAAAUGUGAAACUUACAUAUCACUAACCUCAACUAAGAUUCUACAAGGUGACACUAAUUUUUGGAGUCAAAACAUCCAAUAUGAGUCGACAAAAACGCCACACAAGCAUCAAACUUGCUACAGCAAACAGAGCAGCAAUCUCGUCGUACGUUGUGAAUUUUGGCAUGUCAUACAUCUCUACUAGACUCCAUUUUAAGUGAUUUUACCGUCAAACGAGAGCUAAUUCAAAGUACUAAAAGACCAAAAACUCCUUAGAGCCAAAAUUUGGCCGACGACUGAUGAAAUCCAGGACAAAACCCUGCUGGUUGCAGUUACUGUACAUUAGUUUUUGAGAACUUCGAAGAAUCAAUAUCUUUCAAACGGCAAUCCGUAAAAUCUCACAAUUCCAAGACCAACCUAACGUUUCGAAACGACAUCAUUUCAAGGCUCAACAAUCUCAAGAAUCAACCCGGCAACCCUAAAACCUGAACCAAUCCGAAAUUACAACUUAACAGAGCAAAUUUCUUUGAUUUCAUUAGAUUUAUCAAGGUUUGGAAUUUCUUACCGAGUGCUUCAAAACGGUAUGAAUCUAGCUCGUCGUGGCCUCCGAGCCGAAUCGCAGCAAAAGCCCCCUUUCGCUCACUCUCAGAUUCCCCUUUUCUCUGUUUUCUCUUUCUUUUACCGACUCGCUCCACUCUCUCUUUUUUCUGCUCUUUAUUUUUUGUAUGAACCAACUCCAGAAGAGAACGAGAAGAUGGGCUAAGGACUCUUGGGCCUAAUUUUUCUAUUCCAUGAGAGGCCCAUAGUCGAGGAGGCCCGUUUAUGGCUUAGAAUGCCAAGUACCACCAAUCCAUGGGCAAUUGUUAACACGCGUAGUUCGUACGAUUGGUAUCUUUUGCAAUGAUUCACAGUCAAAGACCUUCAACUCCCCUAGCUUCUCUAGAUUCGGAGUAUCAGGGUUGGGCCUUUCCGUGGAACUGUAGUCUCCAAUUGAAGGCCGUUCGGAUGCGAUCUCAAUUAGUUGCGGGCAGUGACUUACCCCUAGCGAUUGGUGCUCCUUUAAGCUCGAUACAUUGGAUAUCCUCACGAGCGACUCGCCCCUGCCCACCUCCACUCGCUCCAAGUUCUCUAGCUGUCCGAGCACGCUGUCAAAUUCGAUCUCUCUUAAUGGACAUACGGAGAGACAUAAUAUAGACAUAUUGCCCAGGUUGGAGAACAAUGACCAUGCUAUUGGGGUCUUCACACCUUUUAAGAACAAUCCUAUUAAACUGGACGGAAGCCCGGUCAAAGAUUGUAAGUUGGCACAAGUUAUUUCAAGAUACUCGAGCUGAGAAAGGGCGCUCAAGUCAAUCGGAUGCAUGUUGGAAUCGGAAAAGAUCACUUCCAACUUAGACAAUCUAUGAAGCCUUCCGAGGCACUCUAAGUUCGGAUAUACAAUUUGUCCUCGUUUAAUUAUGGAUAACCCAGUAUCAAGAUCACUAUCACUUAUUGUUAGAGAAUCUAAAUUAGUGAGGUUCGAGAGGUCGGGUACUGCUUGCAACGAUGAAGACGAUAGAUUUAGCGUCUCUACACUUGUGGGGAGAUUUGGUAGUAACUGAAACUCCGUACAAUGCCAUAGAUAUAGUCCUCUGAGGUUAAAGAGCCGAUUGAUUGUCAUCGGCAGUCUACUAACCUUUGUCCCGGACAAGUCCAAAAUCUCCAAUUGGGAUAGUCCUGCGAUUUCACUAGGAAUUUCCCCCUUGAGAUUGUCACACUUGUCGGCAAUUAGCUCCUCAAGAUUCUCUAGAGUCCCUAUGCUCUUUGGUAGCUUUCUUAUCUUACUAUAAGACAAAAUCAUGAGCUUCAACUGUCUAAGGUUGCCAAUUGAAACUGUAAUAGGUGUCGAAGAUACAUCCAAUUUGUGUAGCGAUUCUAGUCUUCCGAUGGAAUCCGGUAAUGCACUUAUACCGGUUCCUUUUAAAUCCAAAUGGAGGAGCAAUCUCAACUCUCCAAUGGAAUCCAGAAGCUCUCUAAGAUUGUAACACUCUCUUAGAGAUAGAUCCUUCAAACCCACCAGUAGCUCUCCUAUUGAGGGUGGAAGUUUUCUAACACCAUCCUGGUAUACCAAAUUUGGCACCAACAAGGAUUUCAGACCACCAAUUGAGUCUAGUAAUGGAGGGAUGGCUGGAGAAAUAUUUCUCUGCAGCAAAUGAUUGCUCCCAUAGAUUUCCAAAUACUUCGGGCGGCCUAGUUGAUCAAUAGAGCUAUCAAUUUCUUCCAAUCUUAUACAAUUUUGGAGAACCAAUUUUUUCAAAUUCAGGCACUUGGAGAAGUCAGGUGUUCUCUUUAAAUAAUUGCAGCUUGCCAAAUAUAUCACUUUCAGGUUGUCAUUUACCUAUAUAAAAAAAAAAAAAAAGAACCCAAUUAUUGAGGAAAAUAAUGGCAUCGGCAAAGGUUAACUCAACGUAACAAAUGCGUACACACAUAAAGGAAAAAACGAAUGCAUUAUAUGAAAUUGUACCAUGCAUGCUCCCCAGCCAUUCCAGUCUUCACUAAUAUCACUCUCUAAAAGCUUGAGAACGGCCAAGUUCCUUAGACAUAAACUAGUGGCAUCUAGGUUUGAAGGGCAAUGAUGCCAAGAGAGCCAUGUUAAAUUAGAGAGAAGAUUUUUGAAGUCUCCUACAAAGUUUCCCCCAUUCAAUUCGAGGAACCUUAGACUAGGUAGCCUUGAAAAUUCAGCACUCGUGAAGUUAUGCCCAUCGCCAAGUCUUGUGAGUUUGAGUGCUACAAUGCUUUCUGUUCCCUAAUAUUUCCAGAGCAACAAGUUAGCAGCAUGAUUGAACUAUUUAGAGUAAGUACUAAAUAUCAAAAUAGGGAACAUAUAUCUAAAUUCAACUAAUAAUAAAUAUGAGUGUACUAGCUAAAAAAUGGGGCAUAUAGAUAUUAUCUUAUACAAAAAGGGGCAAAUUCAUGAAUCAUUAUCUCUCCCACUUACAUGGGAGUUGUUAUGUAAAAAUUAGUUCUUUUGGAAUGCCAUUCAUUUCUCUCAAAUCAUGCCAAAUCAUCAAUGUCUUUUGUACAAAAUUGAGCGAACAUCUUGGGUGAAAAUGAACUCUAAAUACACACAACUACAUGUUUAGUUUUUUCAUGAGCAAUUAAUUUGUUUACUAAGACAUACCAUGUUAUUCUGAACCACAUCCAAGGCGAUCGUCGGACACCACAACCUGCUGCGCUUUCCAGGAACUAUAAAGCAUUCUUGCCGAACAAUCUCUCUUCCAAGAUCUCUCAGUUGGUCGUGCAUCCACAGUCUAUCAUCUUUGAGUUUUAUCAAAGAUAAAUGAAUGAGAACACGAAGUCCGGUAUGCGGAAAAAAAUCACAAGCUUUCCACAUGUAAUAUGUGGGGAUUCUUUCUUCCCCAAUGCAAUGACAUGCGAUAUCAAGAAAAAUUUGUUUUUGCUCAUACUCCAAUUCUUCAUAACUUAUCAAUAACUUUUUCUGGACAUCUUGAUUGGGCACUUCCUUCAACUUCUUCAAUGUUUCUUUCCAUGUUUUCUUGCCUUUUGAAUGGAGUAAAGAACCUAUGACCUCGAGAGCCAAUGGUAGUCCUCCAGUGGUUCCAACAAUUUCACAUGAAACUUUGAUGUAAUCAUGUGGAGGUGAGUCACUUUCAAAGGAGUGCUUGCUGAAUAGUUGAAGAGCAUGGUAAAACCGCAAUUCCUUCAUUUCAUGAAAAUAGAAAUCUCGGUGAUGCAUAGGGAUGAUAUUGUCAUCUAGGGUCUUGGUUUCGGGAAUCAAAAAGGAGGUGUUUCUAGUUGUGAUAAUAAUUCUGCUUCCCGAACCAAACCAACUUGACUCACCAGCUACAUUUAUGAGCUUGUCUCUCUUGUCCAUGUCAUCAAGAACAAUGAAGGCUUUCUUAUCAUUGAGUUUUUGUUUGAUCACGUCCCUCCCCUCAUUUGCAUCGAAAACUUUAGGAUGUUGGAUACCAAGAAUGUCAUGUAAUAAUUUCUUUUGCAGAUUUAAAAUAUCGCUUUCACGGAUAUUUGAAAGAAAGCUGCAACUUUGGAAUUGAGAAGAAAUACGUUUGAAGAUAGCCUUAACAAGAGUUGUUUUUCCGAUACCGCCCAUACCGUGAAUCACCACAAAUCGUACAUCAGAAGUGCCUACGGCUAACAACUUCAUAAUGGUUUCAAUCUGAUCGUGAAUUCCCACCAAGCCGUCACACCAGUUUCUGUGCAUAGGCAUCAACUUACCAGAAACUUCUUCCAGAACAAGGGCUAUAAGUUUAUCUUGGCUGCCACAUACAUAAUGCAACCGUCUUAGUUUUAGAAACCACAAACAUGUGCAGAAGCAUAAAUAUGUAAAACCAUAAAUUUUGAUAGUUAAAACCAAGCAUGGAUUAUUAGUUUAUUUCAUAUUCAGUCCUCCCCAAGCCGAGAAGAUAGAUCUCAGUUACAGAUAACGAUUGUUGGAUAUUGAUGUGGGGGGCGGUUCUGAGGAGCUUUUAGAUGGUCAAAUCAGUGACGUUCUAAAGUGCGAUGUAGCCAUCAAACUAGCUCUAUAGCCAAGCGGGCAAACCAGACCAAUUGUUUUGGUUCGUGCAAUGCAUCUAGCUUGACAAAGGGUGAAAAUAGACCAAAUCGCACAUUAAAUAGAUAGAGCAUUCUUGAGUGGGGCCGACACUGACGAAGAUGUCAAUACUUUUUAGUGCAGGAGUUUGGGGCAACACAAUCCCACAUCGAAUGGGGCACACCUUUUUGAACUAAUUCAUGGGUAACGUCCACCCUUAAAUGGUCACUUUAAAAUUCUACUGUAAUAGGAAUUACCACAAGGAAGAAUGUCAUAAGAUGUGAUAGAAACUUUAUACCAAAGUGCCGUCAAUGGAUCGGUUACGAGUUCUGAAAAAUUAUAUGCCUAAUGAAAUUGACUUGAUGAAAACGAACAUGGUAAUUUGCACAACCAUUUCAACUUCCAUUGUUAAAAGGAGGGGGGAGGGGUUGAUCUAUAAAUUGAGUUGUUGCGAUUAAGAAACUAUGAUCUAAAUUAAGUAAUGAAAGUACAGCAGUUGUCAUUAAUUACCCGUGAUCUUUUAAGUUGUAUCCCUUGAUUCCAGCGACCUCUCUGAGGGCCUCCUCCCACUGCUUCGCCAUAUCUUCACCAAACUGUCUCUCAUGCUUUCGUAGGGCAUUACCGUAUGAUCCAGUUUUGAGCUUAAGAUAGGAUGCAUCCACCCCAUAGAAGAUGGGCAAGAUCACUUUCUUGUAUCUCUUCCUACACUCCACCAUGUGUGCGAGCUCACGGAGACACCAUUUGCUGGAAGCAUACUUUUUAGAGAAGAUCGGUACGUAAAUUUUUGAAUUGGAGAUUGCUCUCAAAAGCUCGCCUCCGAUCUCUUCCCCAACACGGAGCUCUUCAUCAUCUUUGAAGACACAAAUCCCGGCUCGAAUCAUGGCCGCGUAGAGAGAGUCCGUGAUGGUUAACUGAGUGUCGGGCCCUCUAAAGCUCAAGAACACCUCGUAGUCCCUCCUUGAUGAUGAUGAAGAUUCAUCACUGAGGGGGAGAGACUUUCCUUCGGGGCAUUCCAUUCCUGUGAUCUUUGGCCACAAAAGCAAUAUCAAAUUAUUGUGCUUGGUCGAAAUUGCAACUUUCCAGUUUCCUUGCGGCCGUUGCCAAUUUAUAAGAAAACGGUAGACUGACUCUUUUCGUCCUAAAACAACUAUUGACUGAUUUAGGUUCACUGUGAGCGACAGAAGAUGCAAAGAAAGAUCACUACUGCACGCUUCCACGAAAUCACCUACCUCGGACAACCGUUCUUCACUUGUAGUUUUAACGCACCUCCUUUUCCUGAGAACCAAGGAGAGCCAUCGUUUUUCGCAGUAUUUUCUCGGAACGUUCCUGAGUUGAUUCGGGGAAGUCUUCGAAUGUAUUAGGACUAGAGCUUAAUUCCCUAAAAAAAGCAUCGAUUUUUAGUGUUGCAUCAAAGCAUGAGAGGCAUUCUUCCAUACGCAAUGAUGGAGCCUAGUAGGAAUUGAAAUGAAAAGCUGAACGUCCAAACCUGAGGGCAUGUAAUAAUGCCCUCUCACUUUUCCUAAAGCCACUUUUUGCCCCUUUAUUAGGUCGUCACGUGAUAGAAUAAAUUGCCUUGGACAAUACUUUUGCCAUGAAAAAAACAUUUUCUGGUGUGAAAUAUGAGGAGGUGGGUCAUCAAGAGUCAGUUCAUGCUGGGAAUGUGAUGAUUAUCGGAUUCUUGAUUUUCAUAAACCGCUAAGUCCAGAUUAAUCGAGUUUUCAAUACGAUCAUUGUUAGGGUAAAAGAAAAAAAAAGAUCAAGUCUCUCCUAUAAUUUUAAUAAGUGCAUCGAAAUUCAAAAUGCAAUGUUUUAAAGAUGUUUCACCUUGAAACUAAAUUUGGUUGACAUCUUCAAAACUAAAUUGUACAUUGUUUAAGCAUAGUAGUUCCGGUUAAGUGGCAAUCGGAUAUUAAACACGCCUUAUUGCGAAAGGGUUCAAUAGCCUUAUCAAGUGAAAGCACUUCUAACUCGGAAAAACCAUACCUACUCAAUUCAAAGCGUUAAAAAGAAGGUACAAAUGUAUUAGAAGUCCUAUAACUUGUUAUCAAGGUGUAAUGAAGUAUAAAACUUUUAAGAAAUAUAAUUAAAUUCUAAAACUUAUCACAAAGUACAAUCAAAUUUUAAAAUUUUCAAAAAAUGCAAUCAACGAAAUACUUGAUUGGACAAAUUUGAUAAGUUUUAAAAUUUUAUUGUAUUUUUUAAAAAAAAAAUUAAGACUUAAUUGUACUUGCUUGACAAGUUUUAACGCUUUCAAGAUACUUAUUCCUUAAAAGUAAAGCUUUUUCACAAUCCUCCAAAAUUAGUGACGGUGCGUGAUAAAGUGCAGCCAUUCUUGGAGCAAUGUCUAAGACUCAUGCUCUAUAAAUUGCUUCGUUGAUGAAACUAGAGAUUAAUACUCAGCUUCAAAUUCUCUAUGCGAGAGAGAGUGUGUUUGGGUGUGCAUGCGUGAUAUAAUUGUGUGAAAAAAAUAGUUUAUUUGGAUCAUAUCCACGUGUAGCGUGAUGACCAUUCAAUCUAACAAAGCUUGUUACCACAUUAUUUAUAGUGAGCUAAAUGUCCACCGAUUGUUAUUUAAACUUCAUGAAAUACUCAACAAUUGGUAGCAAUGAGAUGCUGAUACCUUGCCUAAUAUGCAUGAUCAUAAUUGUAAUUUAAAUUGAUUUACUCUAAUUUCAAAAACUCUAUUCUUAUAUGCAAUGCAGUCCUGCUUUCAAUUGAUUUGAUUCCUACACUUUUCUUUAGUUUGAGUAAUUGAUUCAUCUCCAUUACUUUAGUUUGUUCAAUUAGGUCUCUCAAAAUUAUUUUAGUAUGUUUCAUAUGUCAUACACUGGUUGAUUAUCACAAAGGAAACUGCUAAAAUGGACUACAAUCUACUGAAGCUAUUGGAUUAAAAAAAUUACACAAAUGGAUAUCGUAUGCGUAAUAUAUAUUCAAAACUAUUGAAAAGAAAUACACAUUUGUUUCUUUCGUGUAAUUCAUUUGAAACAAAUUAUUUGCUCGGUCACUUUAAGAGGUCAUUCUUAUUCGUCAUCCCAAUAUGUCAGCUAAGUAUGGAUUUUGCUGUUCUUGUCAAAGCACACCAAAUAAUCCUUUCUCCAUUCACACAAUAUCGAUUGAAUGAAGAAGAAAGCACAUUGUUUUGUUAAGUGGGAGGUUUAAUCCUUAUCUGAAACAUUUUCUUGAAUUUAAGAAUGAUACUGAAUUUUUAAAAUAAUCUAGGAACCUCAUUAAUUUAAAGCUGAUGAAAUGGUCAAGAGAGAGAAUGCUCCUUGGGCAAAGUUAAGGGCUUAUUAAAUAAAUCAAAAGGUCAAGGACGUCAUAACACGUAAACGAACAAUAAUGAAUUUUUAAGACUCCUAGGGCGUGCAUGGAAACACUCCAAAAAAGUGUUUCCGGCACACUUCUGUACGGAAAGUGUUCCCGGGAACAAAAAAGGAACAGAAACGCGUUUGGUUGCGUUUCUGUUCUUUUUUUGUUUUUUUGUUUCUGGAACGAAAUAGAAACAGAAAAAAGAAACAAAAAAAAGUUGUUUCUCCUGAAAGAAACACUUCUCGGAAGGAACAAAAGAACAAAAAUCACUCUUCUCUCUCUUCUUCUUCUCUUCUUCUUUUUUUUUUUUUUUCUUCUUUUUCAUUUUGGCCGGUCGCCGGCCUCGGCCAUGGCCGGCGACCGGCCGUCGAGGCUCGGCGUCGCCGGCGCGGGCGAGGCCGAGCGUCGCCGGCCCCCGGCGAGCCCAAGCCUCGCCGGGGGCCGGCGAUGCUCGGCCUCACCGGAUCUAGGCGAGCCCGAGCUCGCCCAGCCAAGGCGAGGCCGAGCCUCACCCAACCACGGCCAGGCUCGGCCUCGCCGUGGGCCGGCGAGCCUCGCCGUGGCUGGGCGAGGCUGCCAGCCCCGUCGGCCGGUCGCCGGAGGCCGGUGACCGGCCGAAGAAAAGAAAAAAUAAAAAGAAAGGAAAAAUAAAAAAAUAAAAAAAAUGUUUAAAAAAUUAAAAGAAACAAAAAAAUAAUAAAAAUUACCAAACGUGUUUCUGUUCAUUUUUUAUUCCCGGACCAAACGUUACCAAACGUGUUCUUUUGUUCAAAAACUGUUCCCCAAAACAGAAACACUUUUUUUUGUUUCUGUUCCCAGGAACAAAAAAAGAACAGAAACAAAUCCAUGCGCACCCCUAGCUUCCUUCGACUUGGUUAGCAUCUGCAAAGAGUGAGGAGACCAAACCCCCUAUUUUAAGAAACCUCCUAGCUUCCUUGGUCAAAAAGCGACCGGCCGUACAUAGUCAAUAGUCGAAAAUUGCAUUCGUCCUUUUUCUUUUUUCUUUUUGUCUUCAAAUCCAAAAUAAACUCAGAUGGAGGUUACAAACACUGGAUCCAAUCAGCUAUAUUGAAUAACGAAAACCAAAUACUAAACCUGAUUUAGGAAUAAAGAACCUCUAUUUCUGCAAGGCGAAUUCAUCNNNNNNNNNNNNNNNNNNNNNNNNNNNNNNNNNNNNNNNNNNNNNNNNNNNNNNNNNNNNNNNNNNNNNNNNNNNNNNNNNNNNNNNNNNNNNNNNNNNNGAUUUGCAAUUGAAAAUUAUAUGUUAACAAGCAUUUGGUCCAUAAAGAUUAAAGUCCAUCCUAAAGUUGGCCAAAAAAAAAAAAAAAGCAAGAAAAAAAAGGCCAAUUGAGGCGGGUUUUUGGCGGAAGUAUUUCUUGAUCAAAACUGCAGUAAAAAAUCCUUCUCGUUGAACUCGUAUCUAUAGUUUUCGUGAAACUACAUAUAAAAAUGUUGCUAGCUUGACAUGUCUCUAGUAUUUUGCCGAUUUUGCAUGAUAGAAGAUUUGUUUAGCAUGUAGUCUUGUCGGCACCUAUUCAUUUUUUUUUUUAUGGGCUAAUAUCCCGAAAAAUCCCAAACUGUUAUAUAUGUGAUAAAUUUACCUCAAAUAAAAUUUUUGAUCACAAAAAAUUAUAAACAAAUAUAUAUGUGAUAAAUUUGCCAUAAACUCAUUUUUUGACCACUAAAUAGUUCAAAUUGAUAUGCCUAUAACAAAUUUAUCAUUUAUUAGUUUCCGUUAAAUUUUAUUGUCAAAUUGCUAAGUUAGAAUACAUGUAACCGUUAGCAAUGUAGUAAUAUGAGGUUCUACCUUUUAUUUGUCAUAGAUAUACUGAUUUUGUGGUUUUUCAUGGUAUUAAUAUAAUUUUAAGAAUGGUAUGUUUGUUAUAAAUGUAUUAAUUUGUGAUUUUUAGCAAUAAAAAUAUUAAUUUGGGACAAAUUUAUCAUAAGUGUACCUAUUUAAAAUUUUUAGUGAUAAAAAAUUAAUUAAGUAAAAAUUUAUCGUAUGUGUAUUAAUUUAAAAUUUUGGUGAUAUUAAUUUUUUUUAUUGUGUUCCCGUUCAAGGACAGCAUGCCCACAUCAAAUGGUAAUUUAGGGCAGAUCGAGAAUCUUUUAUGAUCAGGCCAAAUGUACGAGCUGCCCCGGAAUUUUCUCCCGGAACUUCCCAUCUUCCUCUCUCAUUCAAACUCUCUUGGUUAGGAUCACCCAAAGGAAAAUGAUUGAAUCCUCCUGUCGGCCACUUGCCCCGGUAUUUUCCUUGCUCCUUCACAGAUAGCGUGAGAGGCACGCCCACUUUGUCUUGAUCGCAAUGUGUAUUAUGGGUGAAAAGAUCUUUCUUUGGGCUCAGUUCCUUCUGCGUCUUUCUGAGAUCUGAGAAAUUCCCCAAAAGCAAAUGAAAUCCGUGUGUCUGCACCUUUUUCGGGGACGCGUCUGGUUCGUUCUUUCACCCCCUGCUUCGUUUAUCUUUGAUUUCUUGUCAGCAAAACUGAAGAGAUAAAGUUAAAAAAGAAGAAGAAAAAACAGAGGGAAAGCAGAGGAUUCGGCGGAUAAGAACAAGAUAAGCGGGAAGAGGACACAAUAAGGGCACGUGAAAGGAAAAGAAAAAGGUCACCAAAGGAAAGAAAACAGAGAGGACAUGAGUUUGAUGCUUCCGGACACUCGACGUGUUUGUGGGGCCUUGGAAACGGAUAUAGAUGACUGGAUGAUGCAGGAAGCCGACCCCCCUAGCGCUUGAACAAACCAGGCAACUAGGCAAGCACUUGGCCAAGAGGUGGAUGGGCUGCCGGACACCCGACUGUUGGAAUUUUGUUUGUUAAAACAAAAUGGGUGCCUUUUACUUUGUCCCACAUAGAAAAUGUGGGAGCAAGUGGAUCAGUUUAAAUAUGCGGGAUUUCCUUUUGUAGUUAAAUAAGUGAUUAGGUGGGGGUGGACCCGACCAUACCCGCGUGCGGGUGCGCGAUUUUGGCGCGAUUUUUUAUUUAUUUUAUUUUUAGUUCAAAGGUUGCCUUUUAAUAACAUUGGAGAGCAAUUACUAGAAUUUUUGGUUAUCUUAAGAGAACUAAAAAUUUAGGAUUGUUCUACAAUAAUUAUCCGCCUAUAUUAGAAGGAUACACCGAUGCUAGUUGGAUUACAAGUGUGGGAGAUGAGCGUUCCACUUCUGGAUGGAUCUUCACACUAGCUAGAGGUGCUGUAUCUUGGGCGAGCAAGAAACAGACAUGUAUAACUCACUCAACAAUGGAAUAUGAAUUUAUUGCUUUGGCGGUAGCUGGGAAAGAGGCUGAAUGGAUUAGAAAUUUGUUGUUGGAUAUCAAAUUAUGGCAUAGUCCUAUGCCUCCUAUUUCUAUCCACUGUGAUAGUCAGGCCAUUUUGGCAAGAGCCUAUAGUAGCACCUAUAAUGGUAAGUCUAGACACAUUAGUCUAAGACAUGAAUAUAUGAGACAAUUGAUUAAAGAUGGUACCAUAACAAUUGUCUAUGUGAGGUCAAGUAAAAAUCUUGCCGAUCCUUUGACGAAGGCUUUACCAAGACAUAUGGUAAUAAUGACCUCACAAGAAAUGGGGCUGAAACCCUUUAAUUGAAAUCACCAAUAAUGGUAACCCGACCUUUUUCUAGAAUAUCACUAGUUACAAGGUUUAAUGGGUAAGAACAAGUUAUUGAAUGUGAUUGUUUGAUACUGACAUAGCUUUGAUAUGAGAAGUCAGUAUCGUCUGUUACGUUUUGAAUGCUGAAUUGAAUUCUUAAUGAAGUAUGAUACUAGUUUGUAGUGUGUUGAUAGUAACAGAAACACAUGGUAGAUACUUCACCUAUACGAGCUUAGAAGUAGUGCCGCUUCUUACGAAAGUUAGGGUUGCUUUCUAGAGAGCUCAUGAAACAGGAUCAAGCACAAGGCCAUAAUAGUGCGGAGUAAUAUAGAAAUUCUCGCUGAAACAAGAGAUUAAUGUAUGUGUGGUAUGUCUGGUUCUAUUACAUAAAAGUACAAGUUUAAAGCCGAGCUACUUGUCACUUUGAUAGAGCUUUGAUAUAUUUGCACUAAGUAAAGGUUUAACUCGAAAGAGACCUUUAUGUAUGUAUAUUAAUCUUACUGAAGCUUUGGCUGUAUGGUUUUUAAAAAUUUUAUUUUGAAAUAUUUGUUUUACAAACAAAGUGGGGGAUUGUUGGAAUUUUGUUUGUUAAAACAAAAUGGGUGCGUUUUACUUUGUCCCACAUAGAAAAGGUGGGAGCAAGUAGAUCAGUUUAAAUAUGUGAGAUUUCCUUUUGUAGUUAAAGGAAUGAUUAGGUGGGGGUGGACCCCACCAUACCCGCGUGCGGGUGCGCGAACAAUUGUGCGAUUAUUUAGUGCACUUGGCACGCCUGCGCGCCCCGCGGUUUAAUUAGCAUUAAUCCCUUGCUAUUUAUUUAUUUAUUUAUUUAUUUUAGUUCAAAGGUUGCCUUUUAAUUUGAGAAUUCCGGAAAUGAAAUAUAAAUGAAAAUUCGAAAUUCUAUUUAAAAAUUAUUAUUAUUAUUAAAUAAAAAUAUUUCGAAUUUUGUUUGUGUCUUUUCAAGACAACCUUUGGAAAAUUACCUAUUUGGUUUUUAACUUUCCCGAAGGAUUGCAAUUGUUCGUUUUUCGACUUCUUCUGAAGAGUUGCAUUUGUUUAUCCGAACAAUUUUCUAAAGACGUGUUUGUUCGCAAUUUUCACGAAGAGUUGCAAGACUGUUUCAUAUAUAUACUUGUCAUUUUUCGGAAAGAAAAGUGUGGUCAUUUUCGAGUCUUCUUUAUGAAAAACUACAGCCAAUUGUUCGAUUGUUUCUUAGAGAGACCCUGGAGAAAUACUAGAAUUGCUAUUUAGUAUUUUCAUCCGAGACUUUGUUGUAUCAUGGAGGAUUUUUGCCGGUGACUAUGAGCAACGUUGUGGGGCAAAUAAAUCCUUAAAGAAAGUUAUAUUACGCCUCAAAGUCCGAGUUGUUUUACUCGAUCCAAUUUCAUUGUUCAACCCAUUUCGAAGCCAUAUUUACCAACACCGACAAACCUCCCAAGCCAAAAGUCUUUUCCAACAUAGUGCUCGAGCGACGGGCCUAUUUUUGUCAGACACCUAAGCCUCGAUUUUUAUGUAUAUCUAAUGAACAACUUGUAAGAAAUCUAAAGAUAAAGAAUGUUUAAGAAGAGAUAAUGAGAAUACUCAUUUCUUGCUCGAAUCGUUUCGUUUAUUUACUCGUGUUAGUAGUGACAAUAGUUGAUGCAAGAUUCAAACUAUGCAAUUCAGCUGAAAAAAAUCUCCCAACAAUAGUAAAGGUCGGUUAAACUAGGAGCGAAAUCUCAUUCUACGGUUCUAAACUUAACGGGCGCAUCAGAUGAUAGGUUUAUUUUGUAUUUACAUUGAAAUCAUGUGAGCAAUUCAGUGAAGCUGAUAGAAAAGACCAAGCGAUAUUAGUCUGAUACCGUCCCACACGUAAUUGAUCACUGUACCUGGAAAAUGCAGAUAAUGCCAAAGAAGGACUCAAAGAAAAAAGGAAGAAGGACAGACUCCCCAAGUCUUGGUCUUCUCUUUAUUAUUAAGGAAACUUCUGUAAGAUAUGAAAUGAACCCAAGUGAUCCGGGUGUUGAAUGAAGUGAGCAUGAAAACGCGGAGAGAAACACCAGAUUCACCAUUAUUUAAUCUGCUAAACAAUGAUGGUGAUGGGAGUCGCUUAAAGUUAAGUGAAGAACUAAUAUGAAAAGACCAAGACUUCUUAUGAGCCUAAUAAUUUUUUUUCCCUAAUUUCAGUUGCAUCUUAGUUAGAGGCUUUCCGAGUUCGAAUGUCUCUCUGUUCACACUCGCCAAUCUGCAACAUUUACUCGAAAGCCAUUGGCAGGCGCGCAGCGAAAUUGAUGUUGAUUUCCAUUCUCGAGAAAAUUAUAGUGCUUGCCAAUUCUUUUCGCUGAAGCUUUGAUCUACUGUAGUUGAACGAACGUGUAAUGACCGUGCAGCAACACUGACCAACCGCUCCAUCGUUAGCAACUGAUUGUAUGUGACAAUCUGCACUGAGUAUAGAAGUUAAAAAUAGAAAAAAUGGCAAUGGUUGACUGAUGAACAUGCCAUCCGAGUAAAUUCCUUCUUUACAAACUUUUCUGAACCAAUUCCAAUUACUGGUGAACCAUGACAAUGAGGGACGUAAUUCAUUUGAAUGCGACAUGGUAGAAAAGCAUUAAUCCCCUGAUUAAAACAUCAGAGUACAGCAGUUUUUGCUCCCGUCCAACCAUCCUGAUGUGCAUAAGUAGAAACGUCAAAAGGAUUUUUCCAGCUGAAUUCGACUACUAAAGGAGCUCAUUUAUCUUCAUCGAUUUUGAGGGAUUAGACGAGAGAACAGCCGCGGAUACACACUGAAUCCCAAUGCUGUUAGACGUUUACUCAGGGUGUCGACUGACUUUGUUUUGUCCCAAAACAACUGUUUGACUGACUCUGGAUGCUUCCACAAAAUACCUCCCCCGCAGAAACGUUCUUCAUUUGUAGUUCAGUACGCGUCCAUCUUCUUUCGCAGGGUUUUCUACGAAACUACCUGAAUUCGAGCCUAGAGCAGGAGAGGUAUUCGUCUACAUGCAAUGAUGGACCCCAGCAGGAAUUGAAUAAAAAGCUGAACGGCAACCUGAGUAAAUGUAAUAAUGCCCUCACUUUUCCUAAAGCCAAUUUUUGUUUUUUUGUUUUUUACCCUUAUUGGUUUGUGGUACGACGGAAUAGUGUGUUGGACGAUAUUUUGCCAUGGAAAAACAGAUUCUCUGACGUCGAAUAUGAAAGAGUGGGUCAUGAAAAGUCGGUUCAUGCAGGGAUUGUGAUGAUGAUCUGAUUCUUGAUUUUCCACAUUUCAUUAAGUCAAUUAACUUCACUAGACAAUCGUUAUUAGGACCAAUCAAUCCCGACAAUAAUUGAAAAAAUUAGGAUCAAACCUCUCCUAUGCUGUUGAUAAGUGCAUGUUGAGAAAAAAAGGUGGGAUUCAAUCACGCAAAAUGCAUUGUUUUAAUGUAUUUUACCUUGAAAGUCAAUAUGGUUUGGUAUCUUCAGAACUAAAUUGUACAUUACUAAAGCAUAACAGCUCCGAUUAAGUGGCGAUCAAAUAUAAAACAUGCCCUAUAGCAAAAGGAUUCAAUAAUCUUAACAAGUGAAUGCACUUGCCCAAACUCGGAAGAACAGCGGCCACCCAAGUCAAAGCAAUAAAAGAAGUAAUGCUUUUUCACAAUCUUCCGAGGUUUGUGGCGGUACCUGAUUCAAGUGCAACCAUUUUUGAAGCAGUGUCCAAGACUAAUGCUCCAUAAAUAGCUUCGUCGAUUGAAACUGUAGAUUAAGCCUCAGCUGCACCAAUUGAGAGAGAGAGAGAGUCUUUGCGUGUGUAAUAUAAUUGUUUAUUUGAGAGUAACGAUUCAAUUUGACGGAUAACGGCAUCUGCCAAUGUUCUACAUACAUAAAUUUUAGCAAUUACAUCGUUUCCGCAACUUCACUCGACGUUGAAUUAUAUUUUGGGAGACGUGGCCACUCAUUCCAUCCUCCAAGACCUCCGAGUUUAUCGAGCUCUGUAGCGGAGAAAUAGUUGCGAUUUUUCUCAUAAUUACCUUCAAUUUCACAGACCAUCUUGCCUUGUGGAUUAAGAUGUCAAGAUAUAUCGGCGGGCAAUCGAUGAAUGAGUCAAAAGGACUCCCUGAUGGGGUUUCCAUGGGCACUAAUUUCGUGCAAAAAUGCUCGUUUUGACAGGAGUUUCCCUCUUCUAUUCUUCUCUCUUUCAUACUGCUUUUUACCCUUGCUUGUACGGCUUCCUGUGCCCGGUCUUUUUGAUUCGCAUCUUAGCACAGGAAUACGUGGGAAAUUUCUGCGAAGCACAAAUCUUUUCUUCUCUCUUUCACACUGCUUUUACCGUUACUUGUACAGCUGCCUGUGCUCGCUCUUUUCGAUUCGCAUCUCAGCGCAGCAAUACAUGGGAAAUUUCUGCGAAGCACAAUUCUAUUCUUCUCUCUUUCUUGCUGCUUUUACCCUUCUUAGGACAGCAAUAUAUGAGAAAUUUCUGCGAAGCACAAUUCCAUCCUUCUCUCUUUCAUACUGCUUUUGCCCUUACUUGUACGGCUGCCUAUGCCCGCUCUUUUUGACUCGCAUCUUAGCACGGCAAUGCAUGGGAAAUUUCUGUGAAGCAUAAUAUUAUCGUCUCUCUUUCAUAUUGCUUUUACCCUUACUUGUACGGCUGCCUACGCCCGCUCAUUUUUACUCGCAUCUUAGCACGGCAAUGCAUGGGAAAUUUCUGGGAAGCCCAAGGAGGACAAUGCUAUCAACUCUAGCCAAAAUUGAAGCAAUUCUAGCAUUUUAUUUUUACUCAUGUCGGAGAUAAAUGAGGAGGUCCGGAAUAUUCAAAUGAAAAUUUUCUUCUAUGAAAUUGAGGGCGCAUUCAUAUUUUUCACUAUUUUUGCCCCAACGCACCGAAAAUAUCUUCAGAAACAUGGAAAAUGUCCNNNNNNNNNNNNNNNNNNNNNNNNNNNNNNNNNNNNNNNNNNNNNNNNNNNNNNNNNNNNNNNNNNNNNNNNNNNNNNNNNNNNNNNNNNNNNNNNNNNNNNNNNNNNNNNNNNNNNNNNNNNNNNNNNNNNNNNNNNNNNNNNNNNNNNNNNNNNNNNNNNNNNNNNNNNNNNNNNNNNNNNNNNNNNNNNNNNNNNNNNNNNNNNNNNNNNNNNNNNNNNNNNNNNNNNNNNNNNNNNNNNNNNNNNNNNNNNNNNNNNNNNNNNNNNNNNNNNNNNNNNNNNNNNNNNNNNNNNAGUGGGAAUGCGAAAUUUGAUCAUUGGGUGAGGUGCCUUUCAUUCUCCCUAUAUCCCCGUCGAAACGACUUCUCCAAAUCUGGGAAGGGUCGGUCCUUGCCCGCCCGUGGCGGGGUAAUGCGUCGUUAGAUCUGUGCGACGGCCCGCCUCGGCGUUCGACCAGAGGAAGGAGAAGAAGGCAAAAAAAAAAAAAAAAUUAAAAAAAAUUUUAAAAAUUCGAAAAAAAAUAAAAAAAAAUUAUUUUAAAAAUAAAAAUUACCUCGCCGGCCGGCUGUCCCCUGUCGGCGUCCACGUCAGCGCCGGCCGGCCAAUUUUGGCCGGAUGGACUGAAUUGGCACAAUUAUAAAAGGUUUAGGAUUAAAUUGGACAAAAAAAAGUUUAGGACUGAAUUGGCACAAUUACAAUAGGUUUAUGAUUUUUUUGGUAAUUCUCCCCAUUAUUGAGUGGUUGAAGAAGGAAAUUCGAUCUUAUGACUUGCAAUUAACAUGGCAGCAACUUGAUCUAAAUGUGUAAUGUGCAUUGCAUUUUGUCCUACACUUUUUGACAUGGCCAUUCAAUAAAUGAUGGAGUUCGUCACCACAUCAUUGACUAGUGCUCUAAAUGCCCGUAAUUGUUAGUAAAACUGCUUGAAAUACUCAAUAAUUAAUAGCAAUGUGAUAGUGAUAUCUAAAUUCUUGCUUAAGGUGCAUUAUCGUAAUUGACAUUUAAAUAGAUUUAAUUAGGUCCAACAACUUUGUUACGACCUGCAAUGCUUUUCUGAAUUUUGAAUUGAUUUAGUAGAAUGCUAAACUUUUGUUUANNNNNNNNNNNNNNNNNNNNNNNNNNNNNNNNNNNNNNNNNNNNNNNNNNNNNNNNNNNNNNNNNNNNNNNNNNNNNNNNNNNNNNNNNNNNNNNNNNNNNNNNNNNNNNNNNNNNNNNNNNNNNNNNNNNNNNNNNNNNNNNNNNNNNNNNNNNNNNNNNNNNNNNNNNNNNNNNNNNNNNNNNNNNNNNNNNNNNNNNNNNNNNNNNNNNNNNNNNNNNNNNNNNNNNNNNNNNNNNNNNNNNNNNNNNNNNNNNNNNNNNNNNNNNNNNNNNNNNNNNNNNNGCUAGUGAGAAGUACAGAGGAUUUUGCUGUUCUUUUCAAAGCAUAGCAAACAAAUCCAUUCUCCAUUUCACAUGAUUUCCAUUGAAUCACGAAGAAGGCGCAAAAGGUUUAUCCUAAUCCCAAACCCUUCUCAAACUUAAGACGAUACUAAAUAUUUGAAAAUGAUUUAGGAACCUCAUUAAUUUAUAACCAAUCGAAAGUUUUGUAGCGACAAUGCUCCUCAGCCAAAGCGUAGGACCUACUUGAUAAAUUGGAAGGCCGGGCAUAUCAUUGGACUUUAACUGACAAUGUUGAAUUUUAGGACCAAAAUUCGAAAACUAGUGGUCUCACUGCCCCUCUAUUCGAUGGUACAUUCGUUGAUGAAAUCAAUUGGAUUUGCAAUUUUCAAAGAGACUCAAAAAUUAAAUUGAAAUUCGUACUGGAUGAUAAGAUUAAAAGCAUAUGACCAUUCCGUUUGCACAGCCACAAGCAUUUGCCUUUUAUUGAUCGAACCUUGUUGCUUCGACGUUGGAAACAGGUUUUUUUCUCCUCGUAUAUCCCUAUGCAACAGAAGUUUGAAGGAACUAUCAGCUGUCGGCAAACUGAGUAGCUUCAUUUGGGUGCAUAAAAUUUUUUAUUGAAAUCGCGGACAAACUGUUGAAUACAUCAGAAGACGGAUUUGCAUAUAGAUGAAUAGCACAAAGGGAUAUCACUUGCUUACUUCAGGCCAACUGAAAAAAGGGUGAAAGAGUCCUGGCAGCUCUAUAUCACUUUUCUUAAUAGGGCCGUCUAUAAAAUAUAUCGAGAAUUUAAGCCCAUUGAACAAAGCCCGACUAAUGAAAAUGCGUGAACUCGACCAUGUACAAGUCAAAAAUUGGCAUACCAGAAUUGGCUGGCCAAGAUUUCAAAAAGCGUGAAGAAAAAUCAAUUACAUGUGACUUUGUUGCCUUCUCCAAUUCCAAUAUAUCGUGCAUGUUGGAUUCUUUGGCACGCUGAAUUUGUUGCCCUAGAAGAAGGGGCUCACACACACGCAUACAUAUAUACACCUGAUCAUAUUUUACUUUAAAUUAAUUUACUUAGGUUCAAGAACUUUAUUCUAAUAUGCAAUGCAUUCAUGCUUUCACAUGAUUUGUUUAGAUGUCCUACACUUUUGUUUAGUACGUGAAUUGGUCCAUCUCUAGAACUUUAGUUUGUUCAAUUAUGUCUCUUGAAAUUAUUUUAGUAUGUUCAUGUGUCUUAUGCCCGUUGAUUAUCGAAAGGAAAUGGCCACAAUGGACAACAAUCAACUGAAGUCGCUGGAUAAAAAAAUUAUACAAAUGGAUUUCGUGUGUGUAAUAUGUAUCCCAAAUGAUAAAAAAAAUAAUACUCAUUCAUUUCUUAUGUAUAAUUCAUUUGAAACAAAAGAUUUGCUCGGUCACUUUAAAUGGUGAUUCUUAUUCAUCAUCCGAAAAUGUCAGCUAAGUAUGGAUUUUACUGUUCGUGUCAAAGCAUCGCCAACAUUCCGUUCUCCUUUAACAUAUUACGCUUGGAUCGGGGAGAAAGCACAUUGUUUUGUUAAGUGAGAGGUUUCAUCCUUAUCAGGAAACUUUUUUUGAAAUUAAGAAUGAUAUUUGAAUAUUUGCAAAUAAAUUAGAAACCUCAUUAAUUAAAAACUAAUGACAAGUUCAAGAGGGACAAUGCUCCUUGUGUCACACCCCGAAACCAUCAUAAAUGAGGGUGACACGGCCAUCCUUCCACUCGAAGGACGCAGCCUCAAAGCUCCCAAAAUCCAAUUCCUAAAAGUCCGCUCAUCGAUAUCGCUCUUGUACUACUUAUCGUACUAGUUAUCAUGAGCUGAGGAACCUAAAAAAGAUUGGCAAAUAGGGAGGUGAGCAACCACAGCUCAGUGAGUAGUUCAUCAUUUCUAAACAGAUCGAGCACCCACUAUACAUAUUUACAAAACCAAAGUACAACUCUUUUAACACAAAUCUAGAAUAUAACAAACAAAUAAUACGAGAAUAAGUUAUGUACACUUAAGAAUAGCUACAUUCAUUUCACAAUAACAUCAAAACAAAUAUCAAUGGUCAAAUCCAUUUAUCAAUCUCAUUAAGUCACACGCCAAUGGUUCAUUUCAUUGAUCAGUCUCAUGCCAUAUUUCAAUGGUUUAUUUCAUUGAUCCAUCUCAUAGGAAACCGCAAAUUGAUGAUCCAUUCUAACGACUAAACUCAAAUUACAUGUUAAUGGUCCAUUCUAUUGACCAAUCCAUUGCUCAAUAUCAAACUAUGGUCAUGAUACAAUGCCUAAUGACGGGCAACCAAAAUUUCCCCCUUAAUAAGGUCUCCACCUAUUAUUGGCCGUGACUCAGCCCACAAUGAUACAUUAGACUAGUAUGUACAUACCCACAAGCCUCUCGCUAGACUGGCAGCAAUAUUGAGCAUUAAUAUCAAUCCAAAACAAUACCAUCCAUAAUUCACAAACCAAAUCCAUAAAUCAUUUUUUAUAUCACCAAAAGAUUUCACAACUAUUUUUUAUGCCAGGUUAGGCAGACAAUGANNNNNNNNNNNNNNNNNNNNNNNNNNNNNNNNNNNNNNNNNNNNNNNNNNNNNNNNNNNNNNNNNNNNNNNNNNNNNNNNNNNNNNNNNNNNNNNNNNNNUUAUGUUCUGAGAUUCUUACACAAAGUGCCGAAGAGAAAAUGAAACAAGAAGAGAGGAGAGAGCAAGCUCAUAUAUAGAGGCUUUCCGGGUUCGAAUGUCUCUCUCUGUGUUCAUAUGUUUGAGCUACUUUGCAGCCUCCAAUCUGCUGCCUAUAGUCGACUAGCCCAUCGGGGUGGGUAGAGGGAAGACAAUGCCGAUUACAUUCUUGAGAGAAUUCUAGUGUUUGCCAAUUCUUCUCACCUAAGCCUCAAUCUACGACUGUAGUUGGAUGAAUGUGUCACGACUGAGCAGGAACACUGACCAGACGUCAAUCAUUUGCAACUGAUCAUAUGGAGAAAUCUGGAGUUAAAACAGAGAAAAAGGAUAAUGGUUGAUUGAUGAAGGUAUCAUCUGAGUAAAGUGCUUCACAAACUGUUCGGAGCUAACUCCAAUUACUGGUCAACCAUGACGAAGAGUGACAUUAUUCGUUCGAAUGAGACACAGUAGAAAAGCGUUGGUCACCUGAUUAAAUCCGUCUGGCCAAACUAUGGACACGGCCUAGUUUCCCAUUGGCUGAAUCUCUUCUGGUUCGAUGUCUUCCGGAACAUUGGAAUACUGCAGUUUUUGCUCCCCUGUCCACUCAUCCUGAUGUGCAGAUAAGUGGCAUAAGAAAGAAUCUCUUCACUAGUCCAAGUCACAAUAUCUAAGACAAGCACAGGACAAGUAGAAACUUCGGAAGGAAUAACUUAAGCUAAAUUCCACCACUAAUCUUCAUUGAUUUUGAGGGAUUAGACUGGAGAAUAACCGCUGUUAUACUCUGAAUCCCUAUGCUGUUCGGCAUUUAUCAGCAUGACAAAGGAUGCCAAAGGAGGGGAAAUCAGAGUAAAAACUUUUGAGGCAAGAAGUAUUUUUAGUCGACUGAAUAGAUUUAAAUGAAGAAGUUCAAUACUCUAAAAUCUACCAUGCCAAAUCACUAAUACUCAAGAAUUCAGUUGAUAGAACACUCGGAUUACUGAGAUCUGGUAUGGUUAGUUUAAACCAUCACGUGAAGAUAAGAGGUAAGGUUUGAGUGAAAACAUGCUCGACCUUCAUGUACAGGUGCUUGGAUUAUGGGUAAUGGCGUGAAAGCUGCUCAAAUCCACUUAUCUACAUUUUCAAAAUGCAACUGUAGACCUCUGAUUNNNNNNNNNNNNNNNNNNNNNNNNNNNNNNNNNNNNNNNNNNNNNNNNNNNNNNNNNNNNNNNNNNNNNNNNNNNNNNNNNNNNNNNNNNNNNNNNNNNNNNNNNNNNNNNNNNNNNNNNNNNNNNNNGGUUAUGCGUGAUUGUGUUGACACCGCUGCAAUAAAAACCUACAUAUCAGAGGAUUUUUCCAGGUCAAAGGAAAGUCCUUAUACCACAAUUUGAGCUGAUCGGUUGUUUCUUCUCAUGGUCGUGGGGUGUAGAAAGAACUCCUCGUCUGAAUCUGGAACCUUCGCUUUGAUUGCCUUGAUAACUUUAUCAUGAGUUACGGCUGUUGACACUGGAAAGGAAGAUGACACUUUGAAUCAUUUGAUUAUGAAAGCCAAAAAUAAAAAAGAUAUGCAAUUUCUGAAGGUAUUCCUUUAGUUCAAUCGUCGGAGGGGAGAUGAGCCUAAAAUUUUAGUGGCAAAUGACGAACUGGGAAAGUUCUCAUCUUAGGAAUCUAGUUAGACACUGGCACUGGAUUCUCGAAACACAGAUAUCUCUCUCAACCUUUAUCAAGAAAUUGUCUUAACCUAAUAAAUAUAAACUACCUUGUUGACGAAUCUUGGCACACUGUUGCACAACACACACUCCAAGGUCCUGGAAUGUCUUGGCAACUUCUCCUAGAGGAUCUGCCACAACUUCUGGCAUUCCACUAUCUCCAAAAGCUGAUAACUAAUAUCAAUGGAAGAAAUCAUUAUUAUUCAUCAUGCUUCAACAGGAGUAAGAAUGGACAUUAAGAGAACAAAGGCACAACAAUGAGAGAUAAGAUCAAAGAACUUGUCAGAGGAUAUACCGUUGGUCUAAUGGGAAGAUUGAAUAAAUGAGGAAUUCCGAACUGCUGGAAAACCUGUAAAUAAAUCCAGCACAAUCUGAGGAAACAGAGAAUAUGCUUCAUCCUUUAACACCAGUGUAACCCUAGGAUUAGCGCUCUGGCAUUCCAUUGUAACAAGUAAACCAAACAAUAGGUAAUCCGAGAAACAUACCUGAGAGCCUGAUCCUCUACCAAGUGGGUAAUAGUGCUUUCCAUCGGCAUCAAAGUGGCACAUAUUUUCCACAACAGCAUCAUGGUACCUGUGUGCAUGAACAGUGGAUUGUCAAAAGAUGACUCUUUGAUAGAUAAAAAGAGAUCAACUAUAGGGCACCGAGAGGGGAAGGGAGGGUUGCAAACCCUAUACAAAAAGAGCCCAAAACUAAAGACAUACACAAAACAGCUCACAAAAACGAAAAAAGGAGCUCAAAUUAAGGAUAAAUCACUGAUGAUAUCAACUAGAACUAUACAUCCAUAUACAAGUUUCCACUGUACCAAAAAUGUAUAACUUUAAGCCAAUUUUCAAUAACAUUCUGUCCAAUAAUUGUCACGGUGAAUUUGUAUCUUUUAAAUUACAUUUCCAUGUUUCAUCAUAUUUUCAGAAUUCUUGACAAAUGAUUCAAAGGAUAAUCAAAGGAUAGUGUUGAAUGGGGAUUGUCAAUAGUACAAAGGCACAAACCUGAAGUUUUGAGAACAUGCGAAUUCCCUUUGCUACAUUUAUAAAUGCAAGCUUUUGAGGGGUGGUAACAAUGACGGCAGCUGUUAAGGGUACAACCUGAAAAGUUAAUAUCAUUACAUUAAGAUUGAAAACUGCAGCAACAAACAAAACUUGCAAGAGUAUUAUCUGAUGCAAAAUGCCUGCAACUAGCAGCUUCUAAUUGUAAAGAUGUGCUUUGUUCGUAAAAGGAUAGAGGGAUAAACAUUAAACCGUUCAUAAUUACUGAUCUAAGAUGAAAAGGCACAAAAUGCGAACCUGGCAUAAUGUAAGCUGAAUGUCGCCAGUCCCCGGUGGCAUGUCAAUAACAAGGUAAUCCAACUCACCCCUGCAAGGGGAGUUUAGUAAUGCUUAGCUGCAGAAGCCCGACCCAGAAGCCAAAAAAAGGAGAAUGAUGAGAGAAAAUCAUUGUUUUUGAUUAACUGUAGUUUACUUUGAAUCAUGCACUUCUCUUAUAGGAAUAUAAUACGCUUUGACAACAAUGACAGUGAACAGAAAUUUGAAUAUAAUAACCACAGCAUGCAAGCAUGACGGACAUUCCCCUGCAAUCAGCCAACGUCAUAGAGUUCCAAUGAUUUUUCAUACCACUCGGUAGUAGUCAAGAGUUGGUUGAUGACACCAGAAACCAUUGGACCUCACAUAAUCGCACGGCCUUGUCCAGCAAAUCCAAAAGAUACCAGCUUCACUCAUAGGUAUUCUGUGGGAAUUCUGCUUCUUUUCUCUGGGUUCUAGAAAAGGUAGGUGGAAAUAAUAAAUGCAUUACUUCACUAAACUAGAAAUUAAUUUCAUUGUAGUGGAA